AACCUUUGGAACAAUAUGACUAUACCACUUUAUAUAUGAGUUUUGGAGUCACUAGAUUACUAUAAUGCUUAGCCAUGCUUAGAAUGGUCUUCCUUGUCAUUAUGGGCUCAUUACAAACAUGAAAAUUGAUUUUUAAAUAAUCUGGACAGAACUUUAAUACUUGUGAUUUUGAUAAAUAAAAUGAUGGAAAACAUGGAUUUUAGGUUUGGGCCUCAAGUGGUGCACAUAUGGUGAUUAGUUGAGUACCGAUAGGGGGAGAGUGUGCCCAAACCGACCUAAGGGCUUCACUCAAUGUCAGUUCAUUUCGUAUACAGUACAACCACAUGUGCUAGUAUGGGAUAGCCCAAGCUUAGUAAAUUAUUUAUGGUUCAGCCUUACAUUCUAGUAGGCCGGUGUGUAUGAGUUCGGAUAACUCAGAGAAACUUCCUAUUUACCCCGACGUGGUAGUUUAGGUGACUAAGUCUAUCCAAUACAACCAUAUUGUGCCACGUGGGUGGGUUCCCGUUAUGUCCGCCACCACGGUGUUAAGUUUAAGAUGUGGGCCCACCACUUAACGGUUCUAGGUCAUAUAACGUGUAUGGCUUAGGAUGGAGUAACACGUAUCGUGUUGGUGUAAGGCUAAAUCAUGAAUUUUGGAAAAGCUUUGUUGUGAGUAAUAAAUCGGAUACUUAUGAAUCGCGUGCCAUGCUCUUGCAUGAUUAUUAUUUCGCAUCAUGUGGGUAAAGUGUACAAACUCUGCAGAGUAAAAACUAAUCGAUUAGCCGUGCUCGCGGUCAUGAACAGCGUGUGGAUAUGUAUUGAGUAUAGACUUGUGUUUAUUCUUCUAAAUGUUGAAUUUACCUUCAAAUUAUGUUGAGAUUUCAGAAUGAUCUCCUUGCUGCCAUGGAUGGCAAUGAGGUGCAUAUUUAUACAUGAUUAAUGCCUACUUUGAUGCCCAUAUGUUAAGUACUAGCUUGCUGAAAUUUAUUUGAAAGAAAAUCUGAUUUGAAUGUGUUUUAUGCAAAUAAAACUUGCUUUAUGCUAAAAAGAACCAUCCUUGAUUAUAUGCCUUGCAAGUAGGGUGUUAGGUUUGUCUUGGUACUUGCCAGUGCAUUAUUUCUAAUAAUGUACUGACUCUUGCCAUUGAAUUAACCUUUUGCUUGCAGGUUUUAGAUUUAAUAUUUGAGUGAUGCGGGUAAUCGACUGCUUCUUCUAGGAUUUGAACUUAAUGGGGUAAACCCCUAGUCGGUGUGUUUAUGGAUUGGGUAGAUAAGCUUCCGCUGUUCUAUAUAUUUAUUUGGUCGGUCGGCCUAUGUAUCUCUAAGUUAGAUGUAAUUUUAAUCGCUUUCAUCUUAUUUGUGUUUGCUAUGUAUGUCCAUGCUUAAGAUGAAAGUGUGAAUCUAGUGCACAUCCUCAGAACUAGAUUCACAUGAGUAUGAGUUCAGAAUAUUUGAGAUGUUGUAGAUAUUUAGCCAUUUUUAUCAAGUCUCCUGAAUGUGUAACACAUCUUGUCACCGCCUUCGAGUGGUUUGACGGGCACAUCUCAGACUGAAGUUGACUCAGACUGAAGUUCACUGGCAGGCUAAAGGCCCAGCAAUGUCUCCAAUAUUCCUCUCUCGAGGCGUCGGCUACUUCAUUAUGCUUGUUUAAUGACUUGAAUUAUUCACUUCAUCUCUUAAUUAUAAUGGAAGGUCUGGAGAGCCUACGACACCAACACAAGUCGUCGGAUAUUGACAUCAAAGAUUAGCCUAGCCAUACCCCAUUUGGUGCCUACGGAAGCCGACAAGAGGGAUCUAGCGCCAUCUCUGAUCUCGUCGAGUAUAGAUUCAAUAAGGAAGACUACCCUAUCGUCGACUACGAGUUGGUGAUCUAUCCGUCAAGUCGACGACAGCUAGAUAUAUUAUCCUAAAUAUUGUAUCUGUGUGAUCCAGAUGAAUAAAGAGCAACACCGGCUUCGGCCAACAGGAUGUAGGGCUAUUACCUGUAAGAUAAGGGCCCGAACCUGUAUAAAAAUCCCUGUCUCCAUCUCUUUUACCUCAAUCUCGCAUAUACCCUGGUACCAACGAUCCCUAUACCAUCUAAAUACCGUAAUCGCGAUAUCAAAUGUCGACAGUGGCGCGCCAGGUAGGUGGAGUGAUCCCUAUACCAUCUAAAUACCGUAGUCGCGAUAUCAAACAUCGAUAGUGGCGCGCCAGGUAGGGGGAGUUUGGUGCUUCAAGGUUUCGAUGAAAUUGGUUCAAGAGAUGGAUUCUCUAACACCAAACUACUCGACAACUUCGGUUAUGGGGGACUGGGGAGAUCUAAUCCGACCGAAGUAUGUCUUCCGACGAGAUCGGAACCAUCGUCGCCGCAGCUGAAGACAUCUGUUCAGUAUUAUCGACCAUCGGUGAUCUCGAGGAUGUUGCUGACACCAUGGGAGACCGGAAUUGACUACUACACUGAUCGAUUUCCUGGCUAACGCGUGCUUUGGUCGGACACAAUAACAGGCCGGACGGAUAGGUGAAUGACAGGUGCCUGUCACUCCACGUGAUAGGAAACCAUGUGUUAAUCUACUCAGGCCGGAUAUAUUGCUGCCCAAAAUCACCACGGCGUAAUCUACUGAACAACAAGACAACGAGUCAACGUGCUUACUCCUGACAUGUACACGUGCAUAUGCAUGGACUCAGUACGUGCCCAGGCGUGCACGUGUACCUGCAGAGAAGACCAAUAUGGCUGCCUAAAGUGCAAUGCGUUGACUAUUCAGAUAAAUCACAUCUAUCCACGAUCAGAUCAUAUAAUAUUGAGACCAAUAAUUUAUUAUAUUUACCUAGAGCAUGUUUUUUAUACAUAUCUAUUGUGCGAAUGUUUCCGAUGAUUGGCCAACUACGGUUUAAUGCUGGGGCUCGCUCUAUUUUCUUUAGUAUAAAUCAUACUUGUUUACGGUUUACGUAAUACCUAAUAUUUAAUCUGCUCGUUAUAUCCUAAUAAUACUAGAAGAGUCAUGCAGUUUUUUUGAGUACAUACUCGAUAUUCUCUGUUAUAUAUCUUGUCUUCUAGAAAAUAUUUUUCAGAAACAAUUGAGCACUCGAGUAGGUUGUGGUCGAGUACACCCCAUUGUCGAGAACUUUCUCGAUAAAGGCUAAGUCGUCGUACCCAACCUACCAACGAAGACUGACGACUUAUCUCAUGUAUAGCGCCGGCCACGCCCGGACUAUUGGAGAAUAUGUCGUUAACGGAUAAUCCCUCACAAAUAACGUCGGUUUGAUCACCCGACAUGAUUGCAAAUAGACAUCCGGAUAUGCUAUAUGUUGGGUAUGUGAGUCAUGCUGGCCACAUGAGAUGCAUGUAAUCACCAACUCUAGCGCCCCUCCAGGUGAUCGAGAUAUGCCUACACUUAGUUCUCGACUAGUCGAUCGUAGCGAUCUCUUACCACCUAAAAAUUCAUAGGUGAUCGAGAUACGCUUACACCUGGUUCUUGACCAGUAGAUCGUAGCGACCUCUCACCACCUAAAAAUUCAUAGGUGAUCGACAUAUGCCUACACCUGGUUCUCGACCGGUAGAUCGUAGCGAUCUCUCACCACCUAAAACUCCAAGUGAUCGAGAUACGCCUACACCUGGUUCUCGACCGGUAGAUCGUAGCGAUCUCUCACCACCUAAAACUCCUGGUGAUCGAGAUAUGCCUACACCUGGUUCUCGACCAGUAGAUCGUAGUGAUCUCUCACCACCUAAAAAUUCAUCUCCAGGUGAUCGAGAUACGCCUACACCUGGUUAUCGACCGGUAGAUCGUAGCGAUCUCUCACCACCUAAAACUCCAGGUGAUCGAGAUAUGCCUACACUUGGUUCUCGACCGGUAGAUUGUAGCGAUCUCUCACCACCUGAAAAUUUGUCUCCAGGUGAUCGAGAUACGCCUACACCUGGUCCUCGACCAGUAGAUUGUAGCGAUCUCUCACCACCUAAAAAUUCGUCUUCGGGUGAACGAGAUAUGCCUACACCUGGUUCUCGACCAGUAGAUCGUAGCAAUCUCUCACCACCUAAAACUUCGUCUUCGGGUGACCGAGAUACGCUUACACCUGGUUCUCGACCAGUAGAUCGUAGCGAUCUCUCACCACCUAAAAUCUCGUCUUAAGGUGAUCGAGAUAUGCAUACACCUGGUUCUCGACCAGUAGAUCGUAGCGAUUUCUCACCACCUGAAAAUUCGUCUUUAGGUGAUCGAGAUACGCCUUCGCCUGGUCCUUGGCCAGUAGAUCGUAGCGAUCUCUCACCACCUAAAAAUUCAUAUUCAGGUGAUCAAGAUACGCCUACUCCUGGUCCUCGACUAAUCGGUUAGCAAGCUCUCGACAUCUAACGGGACAAUCAGCAUUGUCGUGAUAACGACAACCAAGACUGACUAGAUCGCCGUUGUCACUAGGACGACAAUGUCGAGGACUAAUGACAUCAGGACGACAACGGACACGGUUAACUACAUCACACGACGACGACGAAACUCGAGAUCCCCAGACUUCUAGAGGGUCCGAGGAUGAGGUAGUAGGUACAGGAGCCGAACCUCCGACUACGAUAAUUCCUCAUUGUCUUCGUCUUCAUCAGGAGGUUGUUCUCGCAAGUCACGGGAAUGUCGUCCAUACAUUACUCUGAUUCCCUUCAAAUGGUCGAGGUACGACUACGACUAGUCUUUAAUCGGCAACGUAGCGGUCCUCGAACCACGACUUCUGAUGGUCGAGGUACGACUACGACUAGUCUUUGACCGGCAAUGUAGAGGUCCUCGCACCACGACUUCUGGUGGUCAAGGUACGAUUACGACUAGUCUUUGACCAGCAACGUUGCGGUCCUCCCACCAUGACUUCUUAUGGUCGAGGUACGACUACGACUAGUCUUCGAUCGGCAACGUAGCGGUCCUCGCACCACGACUUCUGAUGGUCGAUGUACGACUACGACUGGUCUUCGAUCGGCAGCGUAGCGGUCCUCGUACCACGACUUCCAAAGGUCGAGUUACGACUAUAACUGGUCCUCGACCAGUAGCGUAGUAGUCCUCGCACCUCAAUUUCAAACGGUUGAGAGACUCCUACUCCUGGUUCUUGAACCAGUAGGUCGUAGUGGUCGAGAUAUGACUACAACUGGUUUUCUGCCAACGAUGUAGCGAUUCUCCCACUACCUAUGCGAUUUAUUGGGUACAACUAUACGCCUGGGCUUUGCCUAGUGUGGUGGUUAUCUCAUCAUCUACGUCAUCUUCUGUAAGUGUUUAUAUGUGCAAUAUUUGUCCAGAGAUCCCUAACCACGAUAACACCUACUCUUGACAUCGAAAUUAUUGUCCCUUUACGCCAGUCUGACAAGCCUCCGAGAAACCUAAGGGAAUUUCGGCUGGGGACACCCAGAGCAGAUAAGCUCUUGUCAGAUCCUAAAGAGCCAAACGACCAUGUAAAACCUGGUCAUGUAAGAGUGCUCCAUAAUGCGUAUUAACCAAGCCGUGUAAUUGGAAAUUGGUUUUUCCAACUUCACGGCUGGGGGCUAGGUAAUUGCAUUUUCAGCUAGGCAAGUUACGUGUCAUUGGGCCUUCCCCUCCGAGAACAGACUUCCCCGAGGAUAGGGCUAGGGGCUAGGAGGAGUACCAAACUCCGUUUGCUGAGGGCAACUCUAGCCAGCAUACUCUUUUAUUGUUACACGUAGAUUCAAUUGAUUUUCAAUUUUUCCAUACAUAUUAGAACAUGUUACCCUUGAGCGUUCGCUUGAGGGCUAUCUCUAUUUAAUAUUUUGUUUUGAGAAUUGAUUUCAAGAUAAUUCCAUUCAACGCUGUUGAGGACUCCAUGUCUCUACGGUCUUACAGCGGGAUCGAUUAAGCGAGUACGACGAAUGUUGAUUAGGGAAGUCAGACAUCAGAAUAGUCAAGUCAGAUUUCAAGGCUUUGUCGCAGACUUUGCACCUUCUCGAUUAUCCGAGAACGACUACUGGAGUUCGACAAGGAAUAUGGAAUGAAGCAAAGGUGUACUCGCCGAGAUGGAAUUUCUUGACUUCAAUCCAAAUUCUCGAUUACAGCACGACGGGAGACUUAGUCGCAUGUUCCGUAUCUUCUCGGACGACAUCAGAGAUUAACCUAGACAAAACCAAUAUAGUGCCUACAAAGGCCAAUAAGAGGAAUCUAGCACUAUCUCUGAUCUCACCGAGAACGGUCAAGCGAGCAUGACAACAGUUAUUCCAAAGUCUUCGGUUGAGAACAUGAACUCGUUCAUUUGCAUUGAAGUCGGGGCUACUGUCAGGGUUAUGGAUACCACAUACCCAAUAGUAAUCGACUAAGCUCGGCAAGGCCCACCACAUACCAUGUCUUAUACGGAAACAAACCUCGUAUAUAGAAGGAGUUCGGGAUAAGGAAGGACAAGAAGAGUUCUACAUGAAAACGACAAGGACUACUCAGAUCAUAUCCAUAUUUAUCUCCCUAUACUUACUUGGACAAGGGGUUAUCUAUGGGUAUAAAUACAAACCCCCUAGGAGGAGAGGGGAUAGGCCACAAAGCCACAAAGCCACAAAGCCACAAGCCAACACACGUCGCCGGAUAUCGACAUCAAAGAUUAGCCUAGCCAUACCCCAUCCGGUGCCUACGGAAGCUGGCAAGAGGGAUCUAGCGCCAUCUCUGAUCCCGCCGAGUACAAAUUCGAGGAGAUAGACUACCCUAUCGUCGACUACGACUUGGUUAUCUAUCCGUCAAGUCGACGACAGCCAGAUAUGUUAUCCCAAAUAUUGUAUUUGUGUGAUCCAGAUGAAUAAAGAGCAACAUCGGCUUCGGCCAACAGGAUGUAGGGCUAUUACCUGUAAGAUAAGAGGCUCGAACCUGUAUAAAAAUCCCUGUCUCCAUCUCUUUUACCUCAAUCUCGCAUAUAGCCUGGUACCAACAAUCCCCAUACCAUCUAAAUACGUAGUCGCGAUAUCAAACGUCGACACCAGUGUAGGUCAACCUUAUUAUUGCAAGCAAAUCGAGAAACAAGUAAGAACAAGAUCAAAGUAAUCCGAUAUUGCAAAUAGGAAUUGAAUACACAAGAUAAGUUGGGUUCCAAAGACAUGCAGACAGACAGUUUAGUACGCGCGCUACAAGCAAGUAGCAAUGGCUAAACUUCAAUCUAAACAAAACCCAAGAAAACCUUAACGGGUACCUAGUUAUUCAAGAAGGUGGAAGGACGACCUUGGUGUCCCUAGGGUUGUGCUCCACCUGGUUGGGGUGCACCCCACAUGGGCCCUACUUGGGCCGGGGUCCCAGACAAAGUUACAAACCCAUAGGCCUAUUAUAGGUGAUGCGUCACCUUGUUCCUAUGAUUCCGGCCAAACGAGACGGAAUUCAAAGAUGAGGCUGAAUCCGUUGGAAAGCGGACUCCGAAAGCUUUCCACUAAGUACUAAUGGACCCAAAACGAAGGUCGUAUGCACAUCUGGCAGUCGUUUGAAAUCAACAUUGUUGCAGGCAGUUGAAUUGGAUUCCAGAACUUGUUUAAUUUGUUCUUGAUGUGAGCAGCGGUUGUCUCAAUAGCAUCCAUGGUCACAUCUUAAGCACGAGGGGUGGAUGCCCUACAGCUAACCCUAAUCAUAUUUAUUCAAUAACUAUCAUUAUUUAGAGUGCGGUUUUGCUUAGAUUAUUCUGCUGUUGCAGUUUCGCCGCUUAGUUCGGUUUGUGGAACCCCAAUUUGUGAGCUUCAUUGUAUAUAUGCAAUAUAUUUAUAUUAUUUCUUCUUCUCUCUUGUUUUUGUUCUCGAUUCAUUUGUAGGAGAUAGCUUUAUCGGUGAGGUCGACCGCGCUUUGGCACAGUUGAUAACCAACGAAGGGGUGGGGUUGUGAUUGUGAGUGGUUCGGUCAUCUUGGUUCAGUCUCCACAAUGGACUUAUCAGUACAUAAUGGACGAUCGGGACUUCAGUCCUCAUCACAUUUCUUUUGCGAUUCUUUUAGUGAGCGAAAUUAAUUUUGACCAUUGUUGUAAAAGAGUUGCAGCAAAUGUUACGUAUGCAAAUUGACAGAAGAACUCAAAGUUAAUAGAUGACUUUGUUUUUUUUUAUCUGUAUUCUAUUUGUCUAUGGAUGGGCAUUCGGUCAGACUGAAAAUUUUGGUCCUGGUCUUCAGUCUUCCUCUCAGUUCAGUCAUUAAAAAGUGAGGACCGAAUUUUAAUUGAAAAAUAUCAGGAUCGGUAAAUUCGGUCUCGGUCCAAACCGAGAUUAAACAAAAAGUUAAACACUACAUCCGUUUUUUACUAUAUGACGCCAUUGACUUUUCAAAAUACAUUUAACCAUUCAUUAUAUUUAUUUUAUCAUCAAAUGUUGUUUUAAGCAUGACUUCAAAUUUUUUAUAUUUGCGCAAAAAAAAUUGAAUAAGACGAAUAGUUAAACGUUUAACAAAAAGUUAGCGGUGCCAUAUUAUAAAAAACGGAGGUAGUAUAUGCAAAGAAAUCAUAAAAAAAUUUUAACACAAAAAUCACACAAAAAGAAUUCGCAAGCACGUCUUAGUAAAGACUUUUAUUGGGUUUUAUGGCUAAAAGGAGUAGGAUGUGAAUAUUAGGUUUUAAUUCUAUUAAACUUAGUGGAUUGUUGGUUGCAUUUGAAUUUUUUUUAAUUAGAUCUUUUCGGUUAACCGAGAAGACUAACCGAAUUGACGAACAAAAUGCCCGACCAAAUUUAUCGAUCUUGUCUUUUCAGUUUCGGUGGUCUUGGUCUUUUCGAUUCGUUCAUUUUUCAAUCCACCCUUACAUUUGUCAACGUUGUCCCUUUAUUUAAAAGUAUAAUCCUUGUGCAUAUAUACUCCGUACAAACCACACAUUAUAUUACAAUAGUAUAUUACGUAUACUUAUCACACCGACACGCAUAUAUAUCAUCAGCAUAUCAGACCUUUAGCCCGCUGGCACUGCCCGGUCUACUGCAAUUUAAUCUCGCUCGAUAUUUCCAAAGGGAUCGCGUAGACUGGCUCAGCGUGGACGAGGUGGUACAUCGGCUUCUCUUGACAAACCGGCGGCUGUUCGAUCACGUUCACCUUGCCACGGCGCACCGCUACGCUGCCGCAGCCCGACACGGACGCGGCGCGGCAUCGAUCCACGCGGACGGCGCCGCACCGACUCACGUCCGCCGACCCGCACCGCUCGAUGCCGAUCGCGCCGCACCAGUCGGCGCGCGCGGCGCGACACCGGCCUACCGCGACGUCCGCGCACCCGCCCACGUUGGCCUCGUGGCACCGCCCGACGUGAAGUUCCCCCGCGCCGCGCACGCGCGCGGCGCCCUUGCACCGGCGGAUGGCCACCACGCCGGCGCGCUCCACGUCCGCGGACCUGCAUCGGCGCACGGCCACCUCCCGCGCCCCGUCCGCCCGCACGGCGUCGCACCGAUGGAACGACGCGACCCCGCAGGCCUCCGCGGCCGCGAAGCCGCACCGGGUGAAGCUCACGUCACCACUGCCCCCGCCGCGCACCAGGACGUGCUGGAGACGGUCGACCGCGAGGACACCCGUGCUGACCAAAGUGACCGUGCCGCCGUUCCACUGGAUCACACCCUCGUGGAGGGCUGUCUCCACGCCGUCGAUGAAGAUGGUGAACUGCUGGUCCUCCUUGACGGUCGUGGCGGCGGAGGGAGGAUUUCUCAAGUCUAGUGCCACCAUUUUUAUGCAGAUAUCUUCUGAUGAUUGCUUGUAUUAUUUGUGUUGAUGAUUCCUGGAUAGAUGGCCAAAGUCUUUUAAAGGACCGCGUUGCUUAAGAGCUAAGGUAUUAGCAAGAAGUUGAUGUGAAAUGAAGGACUUUCUUCAAUUCGUGAUUGUGAUGGCUUGUUUUCUCCGAGUAUUCAUGACAACAACAACUACUGCCCAUCCGUUUGUGAAUUAAAUACGGUUGAAUGCGACGUGGAGUAUAUGUUGCUACCCAUCCUAAAAAAGAGAGAGUGUAGUUUUGUACUGUUCAUGUUCAACGUUUGACCGUCCGUUUUAUUUGAAAAAUUUUUAUGAUUAGUAUUUUUAUUGUUGUUAGAUGAUAAAAUAUAAAUAGUAUUUUAUGUGUGACUAAUUAUUUUUAAUUUUUUUAUAAAAUUUUCAAAUAAGACAGACGAUCAAACAUUGGACGCGGAAACUUAGCAAUGCACUUAAAUUGAGACGGAGGUAGUACUUGGUUCCACAAGAGAAACACGAGAGGAUUUAGGCCUGGUUUAUUUUCUAACUUUUUCUUCAGACUUCCAACUUUUCUAUUACAUCAAAACUUUUCUACACACAUAACUUUCAACUUUUCCGUCACAUUGUUUCAAUUUCAAUUAAACUUCUAAUUUUAGCGUGAACUAAACACACCCUUAGAACUUUAGGAUUUGCUUCGCGAUUCGUUCUUCUCUAGCUCCAGUGACAUCUUCUUCUCCUGCUCCAAUGACCCCUACAAAGAGUUGGAGUUAGAGUUUAGAAUCCUGGGUUCGAGUUGGAGUUAGAGUUUAUAAUCCUAGGUUCAAUCACUGAAGUAUGGUUGAGUGAGAUGAUCGCAGGGAGAGGGGGAGAUCACCAGGCAAAGAGUAAUAGACAUAGGAGGUGCAUGUCACACCCUAAAAAUUGCUAAAUUAUAAAUUGUUGUGAGAAAGGAAAUUUUACAAAUUAUGUAAUAAUUAAAGUAAGUGUUUGAAUAAAAUCUAUGAAAUAUUUGAGCAUCAAAUUGGGCUAGAUAAAAUUCUUAUAAAUACUAUGAGUUUCCAAGUAUUUUCUGGAUUUUUCCCGGAAUAAAAAAUCAUUUCAGCAUUUACUUAUAAAUUAAAAAGUAAAGAAAAUCCUCUUCUCCUUCCUCUCUCUCCCGCCGGCCCAAUCCGAGCCUGCAGCCCUCUCCAUCUCUCGGCCAAAGUCCAAUUGGCCUCCCUCUUUCAUCCGGUCCAAGAAAGAAAGAAAAGUUUAAACUCAUUCCCUCCUGCUACAGUGUCGUUUUCCAGCUUGGACAGAGCCCGUGCAGUGCCCGUGUACUCUAGCCGACGCCGCGUCCUCCGUCAAAUCCAGCCUCCCCAUUACUCUUUUUCACAAGUUGGUUGCGAGAAUGGAAUCGUCUUGAUCUGCUGUACCUUAUCCCCAAGAAACCACCUUGAUUCCCGAAUAAAAUUGCGUGGAUUCUACACGAUUUCGAGCAUCGUUUAUCCGGUGAACCAUAGCUUUUCCAUCAUUGAUUCCUCUCAAACCCGAUCCGAUCUUUUCUUCCUGAGGCUAUAAAUUGCUAGCCCCGGACCUCCUCUCCCUUUUCCCUCUUUUACCCGAGCCUCCCAUGCCUUAGCCACCUCUCCAAGCGAGCUCCGUCUCUCUCCGUCGCCGCCACCAACUCCAGCCGUCGUUCGCCGUCGCCUCGGCCGUCACCAACCUGCGCCGCCACCUCCCUCGGCUCCGCAAGGCCAAGCUCCACCCCUGACAUUCGCUCCCCUGCGCCGAACCCCGCAAGCCACCCUCACCAUGAAGGCCGAGCUCGCCGCCUUGUUUUGAUCUCCGGCGAAGCCUUGCCGCUUCACCACCCGUCAUCGCCGGACCUUGCUGUCUCCUCCGUUGGUUUCGCAAGGACCUUGGGAAGGCCGUCCACCCCUUCUCUUCUGCCGGUGUUCACUGGGGUGGCGCCGCCACCAUCAUCUCGAUCUCACUGCCGCUCGAAGCUCGUCGCCAGUCGCCGUACUUCUCCGUUCAAUGUCGCGUAAGUGCUGGUAAGGUUUACCUCGGUCUCCUCUUCCUCGCCGUGCCCUCUGUGUCUGCCGCCGCGCUGAAGUCGCAGCUGUCGCCAACAUCUAGAGCCGCCGGCGUCCAUCCCGCGUGGCAUGCCACGUCAGAGCCACUUCAUCGCCUGUCUCGCGUGGCGUCCACCUCAAAACCCUAGAUCGGAUCGAUCUCAUCCGUCGGAUCAUGAUCAAAGUCUGAUCAAUGAAAUCCUAGCCAUCCAUCCCGUGGACCCGUGGACCUCUCUGUGAACCGAGUUCGUAUUAGACCCGGUCUACCGCUUGUCUCUAUGACAUGCGGGUCCCGCUUGUCAGCAACAUCAGUCCAUUCUCACUCCUCGCUGAUGUCAUAUUCCUCCUUUAUCAGUACAAAAAUAAUUCUAUAUGAUGCCAUAAAUCAUUUAGGUUGUUUUCUUUAUAGGUUUUAAUUGAUUAAAACUUCAUUAAUUCAUAACUAAUUCAUAUGAACUCGGAAUGAGGUCGUUCAAGUAUCAUAAUUCAUCUAAAUUCAUCUCUACUUUUAAUUAUACUGUUUAUUUGGUUUUAUUAGUGUUCUUCCUCAUUUUGUGUUCUAGGUUUAGUUUGUAGUCGUUUUGAAGGAUUGCUCGUUCGUGGGAAGUUCCUAAAGACGAAUUGAAGAUGCUUGUUUGCAAGGCAAGUCACAUAUAUCCCAACCACAAUCCUUUGAGCAUGUUGAUCCUAUAUUUAAAUUCUCUAUUUAUUUCAAAUGUGCAUUUAUUUUCGAAUGUUAUUGGGUGGUGUGAGUCUUUUUCCUAUAUUUUCCUAUGGGUUAUAAUUUGACUAGCUUAGGCCUUAUAUAUUGGUUCAGCUAGAUAUUAGAUAUAAUUGCUUAGUCAUGAUUAGAAACAUUAGCACACUAUUGGGAUAUUUAAUGCUUCACUAUUACUUAAUGAUGGACAUUUAAUGGUAGCUCACGAUGGCCAAUCGUGUUUGGUUAAUUAAAUAAUUUGUCAACUGAAAUUUGAUAAUGGUCGGUUGUGAGCACAUGGUCUUGAUGGUCGUGCACUCGUGCUCAUGACGAUAAAGUACCGGUUCAUGGGAAACACUGGAAGAAUUACCCAUACUUACUACAAGUUAGCGUGGGCAACGGCUGGACUUGCAGUGUGGUUUGACCUAGUCGACGUACCCGGGCAAGGGUGGGCGUGAUGGAGUAUGGAUGGGCCCUGCGAUGGUCUAAGCUGCUUUCGGAUUUACCUAGGCACGAGAGGGUGCUGCCCACUGCCUGUUGAGGAGUGGGGGCGAAACCUACGGUGUGAUUCGAUUGGUUAGGGGGGUGUGCGAAGGGUCCUGUCAUAGUCACAAUCCGGUAUGUCGUGGUGGCAUGUCGGAACACGGUAACGUGUUGUGAGAUUGUGUCUUGUGAGUACAGUUGUACACCUCUGAUCAGAGUAAAACUAUUCAAAUAGCCGUGCCCUCGGUUAUGGGAGGUCAACCAGAUUCACCGUGAUUUGCCUCACCAUAAUAAUUUGACUUGACAAACUAGUUUAGUUCAGGUGGUUUGGUUGGGUCUAUGCAAUGGGUAUGUUGUAUAACUUUUGACAGUCGUUAUAGGCCAAUUUCUACCGUCAAUAUAACUAAAAUAAAGGAGAACUAGCUAUGCUUGCAAUGCAUAUUCGCUUUAGAAUAAUCUAUUUCCACUUGUACUUGGAUAUUAUUUGCUUGCACUCUGCUUGCCAUUGCUCUGCAAGCAAAUAAUAUCCAUUUCACUUCUACAUAAAAUGUAGGAGAAUCAAUGGAAAAUAAUUGAAUAAUCAAUCAAACAUCGUCGAGAGUUAGACUUAUAGGUAAAUGGGCUUACAAAUCCAGUGAAACAAUCUCAAAAAUCCCAAGACACCACGUCACUGAAGUAAGGAGCAAAAUUUUGGCCGAUUGGGCCAGCCCAUGGUUCGGUUGAACCCCCGUCUUAGCCGUUCAGGCUGGGGUUUGGCGUGGACGCUCCGGAUGACGUCCUAUGGCAGUUGCGCGACAUUUCUGACAAUUCGCAUGCUCUACAACCGUCAUACCUGCCUAUUUAAGAAGCUCUCAUUCUCGCUUCACAACACACACUCAAGAAGAAGAUCAAAGAGCUCACUCAAGUUUAGUAGAGCUCUACUGCUAGUGGAGUAGGAAAUAUAAUAGUUUUCUUAGUCCUCGAGUCUUCAAGAGAUUUCGGGUAUGGCUCUAGUAACUUUCCUCUCUUUUUUUCUAAGACUUAUUUAAUUAAUAGAAUAUUUUUCUUUAUACAUCUUCGGUAUUUUAUUCCCUUUAUAUUAUCUGAGUACCGACUUUAUUUUAUACUUCUGUCGAUAUAGUUGUGUAACUAACUUAUCAGAGAGGUGCAUUGGUGAGGGUUUAAUGUCCGAGAACUCGGUUGCUCUAUGUCGGAUUCAUGGAUGUAGAGUAGUAUUUAGUAAUCUAAGCAUGGUGCUUGGAUUAUUAAGUAUUAUUAUCUGGGCAUAUAUGCUGCAGACAAUAGAGAUGGGCCGCUGAUGGCGAUAGCUCGGUACGGGUAUUCCUCCAUGUUAGUAUAUAUUCCUAAGGCACAUUCCUAGGGAGGGUACUCCUCCGUAUUUAGCCCCGGUUGGAUGGCCAUGACAGGUUGUCAUAUGGAACUCCGCAAUCAAGGGUGAUCUCUCGAAACACCAGGAGAGCACUGUUAGGGGGUAUUGGUUCCAUGAUUGUAUACCAGCGAGUGUAAACUAAGGAUGUUUGCAUACUAGAAGUAUAGGAUUGAUUCUUUUCUUUUCAUAUCCCCAGUUAGCCUAGGUUAUAUUUUAGUGAGAAUAUCUUAGUUCUUUCUUCCGUGUGUCACCUUUAUCCUACCCUUUGAACUACUUAACCCCUACAUAGACCUUGAUAUAUACAAGUAAUAUAUAAAUGAUUAGCAUAGUUCUCCCUUAUCAUAUCUUCCCUUGGGAUUAAAUAAAUAUGAUACCUUAGAAUAUUUCCUGGUGAAAUGCUACAAUUGUCGACAUUUGAUGUCGUAAUUCCAGUAUUUGCGUAGUAUGGGGAUUGUUGGUACUAGGAUAUAUGCGAGAUUGAGGUAAAACAGAUCGAGACAGAAAUUUUAUACAGGUUCGGGCCCCUGAAUGGUCAAGUAAUGUCACGUCCCAAAACGACUCUAAAAUACAUCCUCUAAAUUAUGCCUAGAAUAAUUAAAAUCCGUGUGAAAGCCUCCAACAAUUAAAAUGUGCAAAUUUAAAAGUCAAAUAAGGCUUGGAGGAUUUUUGUAUAUUUCCUAAAAGCCUAAAAUGCGUAAAUAAUUUUAGUGGAAUUUUCAGAGCACAAAUAAUAAUUAUUAAGAAAUAAACAAAGUUAAAAUGAUUUUAUAAAAACAAAAACUCUAAAAAGUCCCCUUUCCCUCUUGGGCCGGCUCGGCCCAUCUCCCUCCCCCUCCCUCUCCUCUCCCCGCGGCCCAUCCAGCCUCUCCCCGCGCGCGCGCCGCUGACGGGCGGGCCCGCCCGCCACCCUCGCUGACGGGUGGGGCCCACCUGUCAUCCCCUUCCUCCCGCCGCCUCUCCCGCGCCCUAGCGCCGCCGCCGCCGUGAAUCCCGCCGCCUCCCGCCGUCCCCGCGUGCAAUAAAGAGGGGGAAAUCACUCCCCGUGAUCCCCUCUCCCUUUCCCCCCAUUUUUCCCUCUCUCUCUCGCGUUCAAACGGGCGGAUUUGCCCCCGCAAAUCUCGCCGGCGCCAUUGAUGGCGGCCGGACCUCCCGCGCCUAUUCCUUCCCCGCCGGCCGCUCUCUCCCCCCCUUCCAACCCUAUUUAAACCCUCCCCGCACCUCCUCCGUCCGUUUCUGCCUCUGGCCGCCCUUCCUCCUCGCCGGAAUCGAGCUCGCGUCGUCGCUCUCUCUCCGCCGUCGCCGCCGAGCUCCGGUCCACCACCGUCGUCGCCCCAGACCACCUCCCACCUCGGCGCCACCUCCUUCGGCUUCGCCGCAUCCUCACCGACCUCGUCCACCCCUCCGUUUCGCUCGUCGACCGCCGGAGCGCCGCCGUCCCCGUCGACCCGAGCCGCGCCGCCGCCUUCCUCCGCUCCGGCUGCCUUUUCGUCGUCGCCGUCGACCAAGGGUGAGCCGUGGACCGCCGCCUCAUUUCCCCCUUUCCCUCCCCUCUCUCGGCCGCCGCUCCGAUGUGCCCAUGGCCGCCGCCGGCGACCAUAGGGGCGCGGGCGCGCCGCCUCCCGCCGGCCGCGCCGACGUGGCCGCCUUCGGGCGCACCGAGCGGCUGCCGCGUGGGGCCCGGCCGUCAACCGCCCGCGCCCUCGGGUGCGGCUGACGCGUGGGACCCACGGCGCCGGCCGGUGUGAGCCUGAGUGCACCCGGUCCACCGUGGACCGUGAGGCUGCCGCGUGGGCCCCACUCCCGUGGACCCGGUCCGCGCGCCCCCUCCCCUCGGCUGACGCAAUAAACCCUUUUAAAAUUAAAAUUUAAAUGAAGAAAUUCGCAAAUAUUCAUUUAAAGAGCAUAUAAACUUUAAAUGGCCAUAACUUGGCCAUUUGAACUCGGAAUUGGACCGUUCAAGUCUCUAAUUUUUCCUUAAGAAGUCAAGAACCCAUUUUUGUGCUUUGUUCGUUCUUGUUAUAUGGAGUUUAUUAGAGUAAAAGCCUUUUCUUUUCCGUUGGUCGUGUAGACGCUGCAGCUUCGGAAGAUCCGCUCUUCGUGGAAGUUGAAGCCGACGUUUGGGAAAGCGAGCAAGGCAAGUCACAUCAUCCUUGAACAUAUUGAAUCCCAGUUUAUAAAAUUAUGUUGAUUUAAAUUAUUGCAUUAUCGCUUUAUUUAAAUUCUCGCGUUAUCACUGUUUUAUCUAGCCAUGCCUAUUUACCUUUGUUAUGACCUUAUUAUUGUUAUUGUUAUUAUUUCCUUGUUCACCCUAGAAUAAACAAAACCCCAACUAGUGGACACUCUACUCAUGGUACCACUAGUAUGAUUUUAGGUAGAUGCUUCGCUGGUUAAUUAGGCAACAUUAGGUGGUUUUACAACUCUAGACUUUGGGAUAUUCAUAUCACCUGGACACUAUGGAAUGGUUUGAUUAUUGUGGAAAUUGGAUUCACACCUCCCCCUCUAUUCAAAAUCCUCAAAAUGGUUUUAGGCUGGGCUCGGGGUGCAUGGUUUUGAUAGUAGCACCUCGGCCAUAUAAGGACCGGUCUUCGAGCCUCUGUUGCAAAGCACUACCGUACUUCCACAUGUCUAGUAGGUAAGGCUUAGUUUGUGGCUCAGUCUGGUUAUAAACAAAAGCCUGCCGUCAAGCGCCUGUGGUCGUCGCCCUAGUCUUCCGCUGUUUUCCGUUUGUUUUUGUGUGUGCUGGGUCUUCGCCGCCCAUGUAAUAAAUUAACUAUUUACGCUUCCACUUUAUAAACUCUGAAAUGUAUCAACUUUUGGUGUACCUUGCCUCCUGGGACAAGGAAUAAUACACGCACGUAAGGAACGCCCGUUGGGUUAAUUCCGAUCGUGACAAGUUGGUAUCAGAGCCCCCUUGACCCUAGGACGAGCCGUAGAUCCCAAGCCUUAGCAAUAUUUUCAAAAUAAAAAUCCUUUCUUAUUUGUGAAAAUCCUCUAGUCUCUCUCUGUCCUGCUGCUUCAUUUAUCGUCAAAAUCUGACCUUUAAAAUGUUGCUUUUCUCUUUUGUUUUUGUUUGUAGAUGGCCGGCAGCAUCAACCGUCAUGGUCUGCACCUGACUGGCUUCGUUUUGGAGCUGCGGGGCAUGUGCGUUGUCCUGGGGUAUCUGCAUGGAGUGGACUACCAGGGCAAGCAGCUCCCGGAGCAGGAGGGUGACGAUGCAGAGCCCCACGCUGCUUGGGAGGUUACUGCAGUGAUCCUCACUGGCUCACCCGAGAGGAUUUCGUUGGCAGUCACCGCGGGUGGAGAUUCCUUCUCCGCCGCUUGCCAGAACGCCGCACUCCUCGCCAUCGGCACUCUGCACCAGCGCUACCCGGACGAGUUGCAGCACUCGCCCUACCGCUACCACCCUCGUCGCGGAGGAGCCCGCGACUACGCCACCUUCCGGGAUGCUAGCUCGGAGGAUGACGCUACCAUCAUGCACCUGGCGCGCAUGGUGGAGGCGUACGACGCGGCCCAUAUCGACUUCCAUCAGAUGAUGCGUCGAGGGUUGGUUGAGAACAACAUGAAGAUCCUGGAGCUACGUCAGGAGAAUCUGCAGCUGAAGAAGGACCUAGACGCAGUGGAGGCGCAGCUGCGUCAGCUCAAGAUCGCCCAGGGAGAGGUCUGUCGCCCCAAGCGUCGCCGCGUCUGCCACAGCCUGAAGAUCACCGCCCGCAAGAGUACCUCCAGGCCCGAGCUUGUUCGUCAGUCCCUAGCGUGGACCUGCUUCGUCGAGACCCCUCGUGCCGAGCCCGCCCCCGUGGUUCCUCAGGAGGAGGGAGCCUCUGGCGUUGGCAGCACGGAGGAUGCGCUGCUGCUCACCUUCCGCCCUGGCUCAUCGCAGCAGUAGACGAGCAGUUAGUAGGCUUGCACGUGUGUUCUUCUCGUUUGUUUUUCUGCUAGAGUCGUAUGGGGCAUGGUUAUGCCGGUGUGUGGUAUAACUGUGUUGGAGCCUGUCUUUAUUUUAUUUGCUUAAGAAACUUGAACCUUAAUGAACCAAUUUAAUAGCAGUAAUAAAUUCAAGAAUUAUGGUAGUCGUGGGUGGUUAGCUUUAAUUGUCAGCUCUCUCUGUUUGCUGGUUCUGUGUGGGAUUUUCAGAUGGUGACGACCAGGAGGCAAGGUACACCAAAAGUUAUAUUUAAUGGUAGCUCACGAUGGUUAAUCGUGUUAUGAUAAUUAAUUGAUAAUUAAAACUUGACAAUGGUGGGUUGUGAGCACAUGGUUUUGAAGGUCGUGCUCAUGACAAUUAAGGACCGGUUCGCUAGCUACUGUUGUGAGACAUUAACCGUAUCAACCACAAGCCAGCGUGGGCAACGGCUUUACCUUUUGUAUAGCAUGAUUCAUUGCGGGGUGCCAGACUGAGAAGCGGCGAGAAGUCCGUGGGGGUCCCUGGGGAGUCCAUGCCUCUGGUUAUAUUUAUAGAGGGGGUGAUUAUGAUCCAGGAAUGGUGCACUCUGGUGAGUUGUGUUGUGCAGAGGGUAUUGUCACAGCCUCUAUUCGGGUACUUUCCAGUAUCGCGACGCAUGUUAGACAUGAUGUCAAGGCUGUGUCUUGUGGGUACAGUGGUACACCUCUGGCCAGAGUAAAACUAUUCGAAUAGCCGUGCCCGCGGUCAUGGGCGGGUUGAGCAAUGUUUUUCGUGAUUAGUCUCAAACCUCUCACAAUAAUUAUUGAUGCUAUAAUUGGUAAUAAUUUGUUUAGCUCCUGGUUUGGAGUUAGAUCUGUGCAGCCGGGUUUGGUUGUUCAGAAUGGUUGGGCCUGAGCAGCAUGGGUGUGCUGUUCAGUGUUGAUUAAAAUUGAUGAUUACUCUACUGUUUUACUAUUCUUAAAUAUUUGCUAAAUGCUGCUUUUGCAAAUGAGCCUAUAUUAUGCCAUCCUUUGGUAUCCUUGUGCACUUGCAUAUUUGCUGUGUGGCUUGUUGAGUAUGUCAUAUGCUCAUUCUUGCAAUAAUCAAUCAACCUUAGUUGAAGAAAAAUGAUCCAAAAGGAGAAGACAUUUGGCUUAUACACCAGUUGAGCUGCCUGUGGGAGUGGAGCUGAAGCCAUCGCUAGACCGUUAAUUCCGCUGCUGUUUUCUUUUCUUUUGUAAGUAUGUAACGUUAUUAUUAUGAUGGAUUUGUAUAUUAAAUUGUCAGUUUGUGUACCUUGGCUGAUUCCUGGACGAGGAUUUUAUGUACAAAUUAGUUCGGAAAUUACUAGUGAAUUUCCGGGCAUGACAAAACAAGAUUUCGACAAUACAAAAAGGGCUAUCAAGCUGGAAAAGUGGAUGGGCUAGGAGACACAAGGUUUCACUACAAGAGAAAUUGGUUUUUGUGAUGAUUAAUUUUGACACAAAAUGUUUUAUUCAUCACAAGCAAGCGACUGUGGCCAAUUCUGAAGUUUGUCACUAGUCGCCACUGGUAAUCAUCACAAAUAACAUAGUGAUGAUUUUGUGUUCGCCACAAAUAUUCAUAAAUAUUAGUGAUGGUAAAAUUUAUCACUGAUAAUAGUUACAUCAGAGACGACAUACGCCGCCACAAAUAUGUUUAGAAUAGUGGUGAUAGUUUCAUCACUUAAGAUUUUUAUUGUGGCCCCAAAAAUUGCCACGUUUAGUAUAUAAUUAUGACUAUAAAAUUGUCACUAUUGUAAUUUACAAAUGUGAUUAUUUAUAUGGCCACUACUUCCGUUAGAUCUGUGGCAGCGUUACUGUCACUUUUGAUGUUUUAUGUGGUGAAAUUUCUUCUCACCUCUAUACCAUUUCCGUUGAUUAGGACGAUUAAUAGUGAUGUGUUUAACGCCACAAAUGAAUAGUUCGUGUUAAUUUUUUAUCACAAAUAAUCUUUUUUUUGUGAGGCCACGUAAGAUGUGUGACAAUUUUUCAUCACAAGAACUUAUACUCCCAGGACCACUACUAUUUUUCACCGUGACAAUUGUAUUAAUGAAAUAUAAAUUUUAUUUUGCAUCGAACACCAUUAAAAAAAAUAACAUCUCAAUUAAACCAAAUUAAGGAACAAUGAUAUUGAAAUAUUUAUUCAGAAGUCUUACAACCAAACAAAUGUUGCACUCAACAAGAAGCUCAAAAUUUCUCACGAAAUGCUGACAUAAACAUCAUGAUGAGAACUAAAGCAACCAGUAGAAACUUAAAUGGGACUAAUACUAAAUUAUUCGGUGAAAUAGACUUAGGAUGUCUUCAGCUUGAUUAAAUAGACUUCUGGAGAUCAACUUCAUGCAUUCUAAUGGUCCUGUAAAUAUGAGCAAAUAUAUUUUUAGCUUUCAGUACUUAAAAAGCCAUUGCAUGAAAAACAAAACAUUAGUCAUAUUUUAUUGUUUCUUACAUCUGAUGGAGAUCGUGAGGAUGAAACACCAUUGGAAGAAGCGAAGCGUGAGAAAUAUAUGGCCAUUUGCUCAUCAAGUUUUUGUUGUACCAUUCUUUCAACAUCUGUAGCUUGUCCCUCUACUGUCCUUCUCUGGGAGUUCAACUCAUCACGUUGAGAUUGUUGCUCUACUUGCAACUGGGCAUUUGUUUCAUCCAAUUUGCGGACUUGGUCUUCCAUAGCUACUGCUCGCUGUUCCGCAGCAUCAACACGCUCCUGGGCAGUAGCUGCAUGCUUUUCAGCAGCCUCAACUUGUGCAAGUAACCUUAGCCUUUCUUCAGCCACUCUAUUAAUUGCACGUAAGCCUAUACCACGUGAAUGGUUCGCUUUUUUCCCAAGGACCAAGGCAAAAUGCUCUACUAGUGGUACUGCUGCAGAACAUAUAUUUUCUUGUUGUGAUUGAGCAACUUCAUUUAGUUUAGACUGUUGACACAGAUUAUAAAAAGAAAAUGUAUAAGCAUAAACAAACUAACACCUCAUACAAGGUUUCAAGGUACAACAAAUAUGAUUUUUAAUCACUUACUAUUCUAGUUUUUUUUGCAAGUAUUAGAUCAAACAGGGCCUAAUAUAAAAUGAAUGAUAUCACUUACUGAUUAUUUAGCAACAACACAGUUCAGUAGUUCACCUAGCCCAUUUAGUAUGCACUUCUUGUGAGGUGGACUUGUUAAGGUGAAAUUUUAGAGUAAUAGAAGCAUUUGUAAUGUGAAAACAACAGUAAGCAAAAGAAUCAUACAGAUAGGGCAGAUGGAAGCGUUUCCAAUGGUAAAAUAGUACUACUCAGAAGGUACAUUGACACAUAUCAUAUAGUUUAGGCUGAAAUCUAAAAAAACAAGUUGUCAUAAGUAAAGAUAUAUACCAGAACUCGUUCACCAUUAGGAACAGACCAUGUUCCAUCAGCCUUUUGAUAGGUUGCUUUCCAAACUUGCAUUGUUGUAGGCCAUUCACCUGUCUCUUUGUUUCUCUGCAUGUAAAUGAGAAAAUGAGCUGUACAGUUAACAAAAAUACGGAGAAAGUGAAAGACAAAUGGCUAUAUUGUUCUCACCAGUUCAUGUGCAAUUUGAGCAAUUGAUUUAGUUCCCACUUUAGAGCCCAUCUCCUGCUUUGCCCUGUUAGCUGCAUUCUGGUUGCUUCUUUUCUAUAUAAUAAAAUUUCAGGCAUAUCAAUUAUUAUGCAUGGAACAUGGCACAAUUAUAUUAAAAAAAAUAAGCACCUGAAAAUCCUCAUCGGUCCACACAUGCUUUAUCAGCCAAGCCCAAUCUUCUGGUGAAACAUGGGUUGGCCUUGGUUUCUUGUUAUGGUGCAAGCAGUGGAGACGAUAACGUCGAUUACUAUACUACUCUUCAACCUGCUUCAUAGCACAAUCUUCAUCUUCGUUGCGUAGCUCAGGAAAUGCAUCCUGUCAGCAAAAGUUCCAUGUUGGCAACUAAAAAAAAUAAAUAUGUAAAAUAUGUUGACAUAAGAAUAUUUAACAACCUUCAACUUCUUCCAAACAUUAGCCAUUGUACCAGGAUGUUGCUUUUCAAUGGUCUUCCAUUUUUUGGCUUUCAGAGGCACAUGAUUUCUUACAAUAACGGUAACCUCACUUUUAAAUAAUUUUGCAUGCUUUCCACACACUUUUCCAAAUGGUUGAGGAAAAGAAAUAUCUAGCCUUUCUCUUCUUGCCCUUUUCUUAACAAGUUUGGUAUUGAUGGUGACUUUUCGCCCCCCCCCCCCCCUCCUUGGAGCACGACCUAUGUCAGUAAAAACAGGAGCAGUCAAAAUAGACAUUUCAAUGUAAAUAGUUCAAUUAAACCAUGGCAAAAAUAUUAUUUGAAACAAAUCAUACAUCUUGAGUUUAGCAGUGUAGAGGCAAUUUGUUCUGCAUCAUCCAUGGCAACAUCAGAGGCCUGCUGAUCAUCUGAAUUUGGCAAUGCACAUGUUGAAUUGAGACAUAACAGUACAGAUGGACUUUAAACAAUAUUUAUCCCCACAAUAUAAAUAAUUCAGUUGUAGAGAUAUAUAUUGUACAGGCUCUAGCUAACGAAUUAUUUCACCUAAUGCAUCAAAGUGCUUGUGUUUAAUAGAAAUUUUACCUAUGUCUUGUUCGCUUCUAUCAAUGGCAUGAUCGAUGCCAUUUGUUCACCCACAGUCCCCACUUGACGAGAUCGUUGACGUGUGGCCGGUUGAUCUGCAGUAUCCACUCGUUGAUUUCCCUGACGCAGCCGGGAACUCAUUUUUUCUGUAACAUUGAAAAAAGAAAUAUUUACUGCGUCUAGACAAUAAGAGCAGGGGACGAAAAAGAUAUGAAUAGCAAAUUAAACCGAAAGAAUGAUAAUUGAGAAGAAGACAUAACAAAUGGACACGAUGGACAUCGGCAGCGGCGGUGUCAUCGUUUGCGGCGAUUGCAGCAAUAGAGGCAGUGAUGGACAAACAUGGUGGUGUGUUUGUGCGCAAGGCUGACUAACAAAUAGUAUUCCCAGAUCGAAUUGAAUCGUUUAGCACUUUACCUUCGCUUGCAGCUUCUCUCCGGGAAACCUACCGUAGAAACCUCAAGGUUCUGUUUCUGUUUGACUCUGGAUGUUGAAAAGAUUGGUUUGGGAAAUGAGGCUGUAUAUAUAGACCCAUCGUUUUUGGCGGGAGAAAUAAUUUGACGCCAAAUCUUUGAAGGGAAUUAGGAAGAUGGUUCUCAAUCUAAACACCCUGCGGCAAUGGAGAAGGAGGCCGGUUUGCCUCACCAUGGUUUUGGUUGCCUAUUAGUCCGCUAGUAGCAGAAACAAUCCCUCCGAAGAAGAACACGCGUUAUCCUAACGAACUUGAGAAUGAGCAAAUAUCUCAAGAAACCACAGAAAUCCCCAUACUACAGAAAAUAUCCCAACAAAAUCUCUGCACCUCAACGACUCAUACCUGGCCAUCCCGUGAACUUCUCACCGGCCGGUGCUAACCCAAAAAUCCUCAGGAGAAAUUUUCACGCUGCCACCCGAAUUUUGCAAGCAGCUGCCUAGAUCCAGAUCGAGAAUAUGCAGGUUGCUGCUGUAGGUGCCUCUAGGACGCUCUAAAUGCUGCUGGCUUUAAUACUCCUAGACAGGAGGAUAAGGAGGAGUUCAAAGCUACUAUAUAAAGAGUAGUACUCCUACAUAGUACUUUUUUAAGCAACAGUACGAGUGUACAUAUUGGAUUAAUACAAGCUAGUUACAUUACGUUUUAGCAUAAUAAAACCAUUGAUUGACCGAUGGGUCCAAUUUAAUUUUGCAUCCAUGCCAGUGUCAAAAAUUUAAUCUCGCAUACUAUUUUAAUGGAUAGGUAAUGACGGUAAAUUAAAAAUAAUGGCCAAUUAAUUAAUUACUAAUGGUUUAGGCUGUGUUUAGAUCCAGGGUAAAAAGUUUUGCGUGUCACAUCGGAUCUACGGACACACAUUUAAAGUAUUAAACGUAGUUCAAUAAAAAAAAUAAUUACAGAAUCCGUCAGUAAAUCGCGAGUCGAAUUUAUUAAGUCUAAUUAAUCCGUUAUUGGCAAAUGUUUACUGUAGCACCACAUUAUCAAAUCAUGGUGCAAUUAGGCUUAAAAGAUUUAUCUCGCAAAUUAGUCGUAAUAUGUGCGAUUAGUUAUUUUUUAGUCUAUGUUUAAUACUUCAUACAUGUGUUCAAACGUUCGAUGUGACAUGUUGAAAAAUUUUGGGUGGGAUCUAAAAAGGGCCUUAGUGCGCGAGUAAACCGAUGCAGAUGAUGAGCAGCAAGCCGACAUCACGAUGAUGCUCAAACUAGAGUUAUGACCUAGUGCUAUUUGAGUGCUCAUAGAAAAUGGGUGUGCGCGUGUUCACGAUUGUGUCCAUUUGGAGGCAUAAAUUAAAUUUUUGUGAUACUAAAAACAAUCUUUUGGACCCAUGGACUUUAUAAAUGUAAUACAAAUGUCAGAAUAUCUGGGUCAUAGAAUGAUCGAAGCGUGUAUUUUUUCUUUAUUAAAUGCAAAUGCUUAUGGAACAAUUUAUAUUUAUAUGAUAGUAGACCACCUGUCAGCCACCCAGUGACAAUUUAUAUGUAGAAAAUCAUUUGGCUUGUUCGGUACAGCAUUUUUUGGCUGUGGCUACAGCUGUAAGAACCAAACAGACCCAUUAAUUUUCUGUCCUCACCACCUCUCUAGUUGCCAUCGAAAUUAAAUGGCAGACUCGGCGCGGUGGUCGGCCUCCCAGCCGACAAGCCCUCUAAACCUCCUUUAUUCUGUUCUUGAGCGGAUAGUAAACAUGUUUAUUCCAUUUUCUACAUGUGAGUGUGGUGCUUAAAAAAAACAUGUAUGGAAAAUAUAUGGAGAAUAAAUUAUUAUGUUGCUCUUUAAUUCCUUUGUAAAAAAAGUUUUGUCCAAAAUUUGUUGCUUUGCCACUUAUUAUAGUUAGUAUAUGCGGUGAAUAAAAUUUUUGGAAGAAAUACAAAUUUAAAAAAUAGAUUUUAGAUAAAUUGUACAUGGCAUAUCCAAACAAUUAUUAAUGAAUAGUGAGAACACAUUUUUUUCGCUAAUUUGAAUUUCUAUGAAAAAAAUAGUAUGCCACCAGAUAUGGAUGAUAUUUUACAAAUUCAUCACAAUUAUAGUAUCCUGUGACGAUAUGAAGGUUUCCCACUAAUAAAAAAAUAUUAGUUGCGAAUGAGUUUGCUACAACUAGGGACUCCUGUGACAAUAUAACAAUUGGUCACUAAUUAAAAAUUAAACAGUGGCAACAGGAUGGUUCACCACAAUAAAUUCGCCACUGAUAAGGCCUCUUGUGCUGACACAGUGUUCUCCCACUAAUAAUACAACGACAGUGGCAAAAUAUUAAUUUCUCACUAAAGAUUUGACACUAAUGCUAUAUAUUGUGGCGACUUAACAUAUUCUCACUAAUGAUCAGUAUCGCAGUGGCGAAAACUUUUUUGGUCACUACAAUUGUAAUAAAUAGUGGUGAAAUAAAACUUCGUCACAUUUUUUGGACACAAGAAGUCUGAACUCCUGUAGUGUUUAUAUAGGUUUAGGUCUUCUCAAUGAGAAGUAAUACCCUACUCCUGUCCGGGGAUUGAUCCGCCGAGUGUAUUGUUGAUCGUAUAAUCAGAGAGAAAGGUUAUGCCCCUGGAGGCACCUGGAUCCUCCUUAUAUAGGGGGAGGAGCCAGAAUUACAAGAUACAGCCCAUGUUCCUAACGACUAGGCAUGUAAAGAUAAAUUAUAAUCGUAACCGACUAGGACUAUCGGAUGUUUCCUUGAUAUAUAAGUUAACAUAACAACUGAGUCCUUUACUAAAUAUAUUCUAUCAGUAUAUUUGGUAUCCCUAUACCUAGUCGGAUACACAUGCGUGUAGGUAUGGGGUAUCCAUAAUCUCCACAGUAGCCCCUGAGACCUAAACAAUCGACGAAAUAAUCUUCUCCCGAGUCAUUAAACGAAAAUCCCGAGUGCUUCAAUUAUCUCUGCCUUGGCCUCCCUAGUGGUUGAAUCAAAUGCUGUGAAGGGCUAAAAAAUUUUAGGUGCAUCGACUAGAUGCACCUAAUAGGUGUAGCCCCCGACUAUGUGAUUAGUUGGAAAAAACUAAACAUAUAGUCAAGGUUAAAAUAAAUAACUAGGUGAGUGGUUUUAUGAAUGGUACUACCGAAGUAAUUUAAUAUUAAAGCAUAUUCGACUUCAUCUGAGGAAUUUGCCGACUGCUUAAAUAAGAUUAUUGAGCUCACUAUGAAACAUAGAUGAUAUAUAAAGAUCCGAGUGAUAAGAGCACUCUACAGAUCUAUCAUCUAUUUUGGGGCAUAAUACAUCAUUUGUAUUAAAAUUCGAGUAAAAACCAGUUUAACCGCUAAAUAAAUAACGACUUACAAGUUUAAUCAGCCUAAGCCGUAACUUUAGUCUGUUAUUAAGAGAAUGAAGCAUAUAAAUGCUCAGAAGGAACAUGCUAACAACCAAAUUUAGUAAUUUCAGUAUCGAAGACAAAGAUAAAACUGAGGCGGAGUCUAAGGUGGAAAUCAUUUCGGAAACAGGGCAAGGAUCGGCUAAAGUCCGAAUCGACUGCGAUUGUGAUCGGCAGAGUCCGAGUUGGACAAGGAUAGCCGAUUGAGCCGAAUCCGACAAUGUGACAUGGUACACGUUGUCGGGUUGAGCUAAUGUGCUUCAUGAGAAUUGCCACGCACGGAUUGGGUCCUGAGAAGGCAAUUGUAUCUAUUAAUUAGGUUAUUUUAUGUAAUUUCCUUAGAGAUAUGUUUGGGCAAAAGUCUGCCGCAAAGAUUUAUGGUGUCUUAGAGUUUGUUUCGUGUCCGACACGGACAUAUUUUGUAAUCUCGGGUAUAAAUAGACCCCGAGCCUCAUGUAAUCAAUCUAACACACGUUCAAUACAAUCUUGGCGCAUCGCCACCCUUUUACUUUCGUUUUGUUUCGACGAGUUCUUGCUUUUGGGUUGAGCUGCAUCGGUUUCGAUCUUCAACUAGAGGUAAAACUUGCUAUGGCGGCUUGCGUUCUCGGGAUUAGUGCUUCCAUCUUUAUGAUAGUCUAAUCUUGUUUAUGUAAUUCGUCGAGUUAUCAUAUAUUCUGUAUAAUCUUUGACAAUAUUGUUAUCUAACCUUCAAUCGGAUAACAUCUAUCAUUGGAAGGCAGCCGAUUAGGUUAAAUAUCUAUGUUGGCUUAGAUUGUACAGGAUAUCCACCAUCUAUGAAAUACCCAACGGCUUGAUUGUCUAGAUAUUGUCCUUUUCAUAAUUAUAGCUGCAUCAGUUGAGUUUGACCUUAUAAGUCAUGAUUAGAAUCUCAACCUCUAGCAUGCUUUUGGUUGCCGAUUAGGGUAGUAUCGGGGUUUCAGCCGAUCUUACCUGAUUUAGCCUUAUAUUUCAUGUUUAAUUGACAUGCUAGAUCUGCCCUUUAUAUUAUGAUCUUAGUACAACAAAGUAUGUUAGGCUUCCGUUUGAUAUAUUUUUGAUUGCUUUAAUAUCUUAAUAUAUUGUAGUAUCGGAGUAUUAGCCGAUACAUGCUAGAUCUAUCUGAUCGGCAAUGCUAUGAGCAUCUAUAAUCUCAUUGUUAAUAUAUAUUUCAAUCUAAGUGAUUUAUACUGUCUCGGCAUGGCGACCGAUCUAUCCCAAUCACUUGAUUUAAGUAUAUAUCGAUAUAAAGAUUAUAGGUUGUUAAUAUCUACAGCUGAUCGAGUAGAUUUAGUCUUUUCUUACUUAUUUAUAUCUGCCGAUCGAUUCAAACAUGACAUCGGCUCAGAGAUAAAUGAUAUGUCAUCGGCAACUAGUCGAUCGGCAAUCAUUUAUGGAUUUAACCGCGGUUUCUUUAUCUUUAUUUCUUGUUGAUUGCAGGAUUAAAUUAACUGGCACGCUCACGAACCUAAAGGCAAGAUUUUUGGACCUGCACUGAAGUUAAGCAGAUCUUCAAGGCCUCGUGUUUUCGCAUCAAUAGAACAACAACUUUAUAAACUAGUCGUCUUGAUUAAACCCUAACAGCUUUGUGACCUUAUAGAGAAAGUCAACAAAAAUAGCAUGAUGUUUUUGACAGUUGGGCACCUUUUUGUAUGCAUCGUAGUAAUUCCAAGGAAUUUACUAACUGCGAAAAAAGGAUUUUAACGGUAUCAGGCUUUAAUUUGUGUGGGCAAUUUUGCCUAAGCAAAAAUACGCCUAAGUCCCAAGAGACCACAUUCAGCCACACCGAAGGUAUAUUUGGGCUGAAAACACUGUAUGGGCCCAUGCCCAUUAGCAUUUUCCGAUACCCAACGAUAAAAUCACGUCGAAGGAAACCACUUUGUCUUCUUCGCCGCAACAGCUGCUCGUUCCCCAUUUCAUGCUACAGUAACAAACUUGUGCCGCCAAAAGCUAGGGUUCGCAGCUGCACCGCAAUCCGCCUCUUCCAAACCGUCUCCCUUCAACCGAAACCCUCCACGCAACCUCCGCCCUCAAUAGAGAAAACUUCCAGAGCCAAUGGGCACCUUCCGAUGUCAAGGAAGAAACUCUCAAGGAAAUGGUGGCGCAUGGGGUACUGCCAAGCAAGGAGAUCAUCGGGUGGCGUCCUGUAUUUGGUGAGCCAUUUCCAACUCCUGACACCCAUGAGAUCGUGGUAUUCACCCACUUCUUUUAUGGAGGCUUUGUACUUCAAACCUCUAAAUUCUUUUGGGGAAUUCUUGAAUUUUAUGGGAUUAAUAUCUACCAUCUCAACCCCAAUUCCAUUGUUCAUAUUGCGAUUUUUGUCCACCUCUACGAAGCUUUUCUUGGCAUUCGGCCUCACUUUGCCUUGUUUCGCCGAAUCUUUUUUUUAAAACCCCAGCCCGACAAAAAUAAGCCUUGCAUUGUUGGGGGAUCUGACUUCCAACUCCAUGGAACCCUGCACAAGAAAUAUUUUUCUCAUCCCUUCAAAACCUCUAACAAGGGCUGACAUGCUAACUGGUUUUAUAUCCAAAACCCAGACCCUGCCCUGCCUGAGUACUCGUGCUGUCCGCCUAAGUAUCGGGAUGUCUGGAACUCCCUUCCCAUGCGUGAGAAAGCGUCUCAAGCCCUUGAACUGCUGAAUAUAAUGUUGAAGAUAAAGGAACAGGGCCUUCAAGGGGAGCAAAUCACUCGGCAUUUCAUAAUGUGCCGACUGUCUCCAAUCAAAGAAAGAUCACGCACGACAUUUGAGUAUGAUGGGAAGACCGGCCCUAACUGAGAGGAUCCCGACUCCCUCGAAUUCAAAAUCAUGAAGGAGAGGAUGUAUAAGAUUUUAUCAUCUAGUAUCGUGGUUGACUUCACACAUCUGCUCCCGGUCGUGCCGUUCAAUGCCUUCAAUCCACCUCCAGCAGUAAGUGACAAGUCGCUUGAAUUUCUAUUAUGCUUGUUGUUAUUGAAAAUAAACCUUGAAUUAUUAUCCUUAGGAAAAUGCCUUGAUGAAAUCUGAUCCUCCGAUUGUUCAAUGUCGUUCUUUGCGGCGUCACCAGGGCCAAGCUACCGGGGGUCCAAAGAUCCAGCCCGGCGGCCAGAAAAGUAGUGCUAAUCUGGCUAAACAAGCGGGCUCUUGGAAGAGGAAGAUGAUCAUAGAUGAUGAUGAUGACAGCGAUGAUGAAUCGAUCGGCAAACAGCUUAAACAGGCUACUCCGUCGAAGAAGAAAACAACCAGUCGUCCGAUGCCAAAAAUCCGAAGAACUUCUAGGUAUAAGAUUUGUCCAUUUUGUUUUCUUAACAUUCACAAUUGUGUUUGCUGAAAUCAUCUUGCAAUAUCUUUUUAUUUCUUAGGAAACCGCCGGACAUUGGUCCGUCUAGUAAGAGCACUGACCCACCCGCUAGCUCGAAAGCAAUUGAAGAAGGAAAAACUUCACCCGCAACCGGGACUGGGACCUUCCGAGUAGAAACCCCGACUGGCGAAAAGCCAACGACAGGCGAAGCUGAUGCCAACAAAGAACCACCGACUGGAAACCAGUCGGCAUCCGCUGAAGCGAGCACAAACCAGGAGCCCUUGACUGGAAACCAGUCGGGUGAAGAUAAAGAAGACUCCCAGUAACCAAAUAUGGAUGGGGGAAGCAAUAUCCCUGAAACGGAGGAGCAAGCUAGCAGUCCUCCUCUGAACCAAGAUACAGAUGUUGGACCUGAAGCCAGCACUUUUGACAAGGUGGAAGGACCUGCUCGGCCACCGCCUAUAAUUAUCACAGGUAAUGCUCUCUCCAGUGAAUUCAUGUUAUCUCAUUGUUCUUAUAUAAAUGAAGGCCCAAUGGUUGGUGACGAAGAAGAAAUUCUUCGUACUAAAUCAGCUGAAGACUCCUAGCCGCCUAUCCUGGUCAAAUGGUGGGAUGAUGAAAUGCAACCGCAAGGCAUUGUGAUAAAUUGGCAGAAGGAAGAAGAUGAAGUAGUUCUGCUAGCAAAGACUCUCAAUCAGGCUACUCGUCUUGUAAAUGUAAGUAUACUGCCCCUCACAUGUUUAGUCAUCCAAUGAAUUUACUAAGUUGAAUACGAUAUUGUGCAGAGAAUCCACCUUCAGAACGAGGCUAAAACCGCUACCCUUGAGAAGCUGGUUCCUCAUCUUGGCACUUUGGAAGAAACCAGAGCAAAACUCUAUGAAACCAAAGAAUAAGCCAGGAAGACAGAACAUGAACUCAGGAAUCGGAUUGUCGAGUUCCAGGAUACCAACUUCGAAUUGAGCGGCUCCUCCAAAGGUUAAUGUUAUUCCUGCUUGGCUUUCCAUAUUCAAUUCCAGCAGUUGUAUAAUUUUUCUGUGUCUAGCAGUCCAAGUUGCCAAAAUUGAAGAUUUGGAGAGACGAAUUAAAGCCUUAGAGAAUGACAAAGCUGCUCUGUCCAAGGAAAGAGAUCUUGUUGUCAAGGAAUUUGAAGGUAACUCUUUUGAUUCUUUGUGAAUGAAACUUGAUCAACUAUCAUUAUAUCUUGAAUCCUUGAAUGAUGUUAUAUGCAGAUCAUAUGGGGAAAACAAAGGCGCAAUUCGACUUGUUGAUAAACAAAGUUGAAAUUGCUGAGAAGGCUAGAGACGAAGUUGCUAAUAUUGCCACUCCUAUAAUCCAAGCCAUGUAUCAUUGCAACAGCGGCACAAGCUCCUUGGACGCCAUGGAAAUCUUUGAUAAGCUGGCAAUAUGGGAGCAAGCAUGGCCUUGGCAAUGAUAAAGUCUUUGUGAUGUGGACUAGGGUUCCCGAUCUUCUAAAAGGUUCUGAUAAACAACGAUUUGGGCAGAGUCGCGACACAAAUCGAUCCGGCUUCUUGAACGAACACGCUCUUGAGCCCCGCAAUCGCAGCACACCGUCACCUCUGGUUAUCACCCAUGUCAAAAAGUGGAUGACCUCGCCGAGAAGGCUAAUCCCUAUUUGCCAAUCGAAGAACACAAACAAGAACAAGGUAGAAUACACCAAAAUUGCAGAUGAAUGAUUAAGCUCACAAGUUGGGGUCUUACAAACCGAUCUAACGGUGAAAUUGUUCUCGACAGAAUAAUCUAAGCAAAACCCAAACACUAAAGAUGACAGGGGGUACUGAUAUAUAGAGUUUAGGGUCGUGCAACCAAUCCUUGACGCAACCCUGAUGGGUUCCAACACGAUACACGGCCCAAGGGCCCAAAUACGGUGACGCAGCACCAAGACAGAUUCCGGAUAUCAACUUGUUUGGUCAAUUUCCGUUUACACAGAAAGAAUUUGGAUGUGGGACCAAAAGCAUUGGAAAGGUUAUUUUGUUAGCUUUCCAUCCAUAUAAAGAACGCCCCAAUCCGAGCACGUAUGCGACUCGGGCGCCCCUUUUAGUGCAGACUAGUCCUGGAUUCCGAAUUGCACUCGAAGUCGACUUGGAGAAGAUCUUGGUUUGGUCCCAAUCAACUUCUUUGAUAUUCCAUGCAUUCGUUAUGCUCGGCGUCUUUUCCUUCAUCCAAGUAAAGUACCUCGACAAACGAAAACACACAAAACUCAUUGUGUAGCAACGUUUGUUCAAAUAUAUAAGAAGUAAAUCUAAUGUAGAACAUAUGCACCUUUGGUUCAUUAAUACAUAAGGUAGUCAUGGUUAUAUCCAACUAGGCUAGUCGUGUCCUCAUCAUAGAGUAGAUUAGAAGAAGUCAGAGGAGUGCCAGAGUUGUCGGUAAUACUCUUCUUAUUUUCUGCUAUGUUAAUUACUCUAAUUAUAAUAGAAAUAUCUUUUGAGUAAUUUAGUUUUGCUUGGUGAGAUUUAUUUCUUGGUUAGUUCCUAAUUAGCAUACGGGAUCAUCGUUCACUAUAAUCCACUAAAAUAUAGGGAUUGCUUUAGUGCGUAGCUAACAUUCAAGUAUGUUAUUAACUGCUUAGACGCAGUGUCUCGGUAGUUGAUUUCCGGUGUUUUCUCCGCAUCCCACAGUAGGUAUGAGGUGGUGACAACCCUCAAGAUCACUGAAGUUCUUCCUGUCCGGGUGCGUAGUAAAGCGAUAUCUGGGAGCAGCGAGCUAACCAGUGCCCAAAGUAUCGCGUUAGGAUUAAAGUUAAGCUUUCCAUAGAUACUGUUUCUCACCGGUGAAUCCUUAGCCUAUCUUUAUGAUGAACCCUGAGCUGUUGUUGGCCCGAUCUUUCGGUGAGUUGUAGGUAACUACGAUUUGGGAGAAACAUGACGAUCUGACUACAACCGUAUGAGAUGUUGUGUUGCGCCUUAGUGAUCGAUACACCUCUCCGUGGGUUGUUGAUCUUGCCGAUGCAGAUCAACCUUAUUCCUACAAGCAAAUUGAAGAAACAAGCAAGAACAAGAUAAAAGCAAUCUGAAUUGCAAAUAGGAAUGAAUACACACGAUAAGUUGGGGUUUUGAAUACAAGCAGACAGACGGUCUAGUCGACACGAGCGCUGCAAGGAAGUAGCAAUGGCUAAACUUUCAUCUAAACAAAACCCGACUAACCUUGGAGGGAUUACUAGCUAUUUAAGGGAUGGAGGAGAUCAGAAGGGUGUCCUCCCUCUGUUUGGGGCGCAGCCCCCCUUGGGCCCCACUUGGGCCGGGGUCCCAAACAAAGUUACAAGCCCAAAGGCCCAUGACUAGCGAUGCAGCACCUUGUUUCUUCAUUUGUGGAUGACUGGGAUGGAAUUUGGAUAUGAGGCCAGAUCUGCUGGAAAGAGGACUCCGAGAGCUUUCUACCAAGUACUCACGGGUCAAAAACGGAGGUUGUAUGCAGAUUCGGCGGCCGAUUGAAUUUAGCAGUGUAGUAGGUGGCCGAAUCGGAUUCCAGCACUUGGAGGACUUGAUCUUGAUGUUAUCUUGUUCUUCCAUGAUGUGAGCAAUGGUUGUAUCCGUAGUAGCCAUGGUCACAUCAUCCUCCCCUUCUUCACGGAAAACCGUCCUCGAUUUUUCUAUACGGUGCUCGUCACAUAGUCCAUUCAAAAUAACCUGUUUCAUCCAAUCAAAACUAGAGAAACUCGAUGUUGUGUGAGUAGCAAUAACAUGUUUCUCAAAAUCCGAACAACUGAAAUCUCUAUGCACCAAAUAUAUUCCUCUAUCAUUAUAUUUGCCAAAGAUAUGAAAAAUAGCAUUAGUUGGACAUGGCAAAUCAGACUAAGCAACUAAUUUCUCCUCCAAAUUAUUGAGCUCACAAAAAUCAUCAAAUUGAACAUAGCUAAAAGUAUUUAAAGAAGUUAUCAAUUUACGUUCCUCAACAUCAUUAGCAAUGUGAACAUCAUGCUUAAAAUCAGCACACAAUGAAACACUAGAAAUAGCAUGUUCAUUCACUAGUUGUGGUAGGGAUAUAAGUGAAGCAUUAUUACACAACUCUUCUUUAUCACAAGGAAUAGCAAGUAAAUCAACUUGUGACAAAGGCAAAUCAAAAGUAGUUUCCACCAAAAUUUGCUCUAGAUUAGCAUGGAUAGUGGACAAAUGUGACUCAUCAGAAGCACACUCACCUUGAGUAAUAUCAGCACCAUUUAAUUUACCUUUUAUGCCCUCUUCAGAUAAUGUAGGUGCAUCAGUCUUCUCUUCUUCCUUCGUGAGCGAUGGAGAUGACAUCUCGAGCAUAUCGCUCUUCUCCUCAUGGUGAAUGUUCUGAGCUCCCUACAAAAUGUCAGUAAUAUGAGGCACAAGCAUAGCUUGUUUCUCCCUUGGGUUCUUUAAAAUAUUGCUCUCAACGCUGCAAGAAAGCAUGAACAAGUGGCCUAUAUGAUUAUAUGUCACAUUUAUAAGCCCAGCCUGAAUAUCAGAAUUAAGCCCUCUAAAAAAUCUAGUCAUUGUGUUCUCAUUGCUUUCUUUUAAACCACUAUAAGUGAUACAAAUUUUAAAGUUAUGAAAGUACUCCUGCACGGUUUUGUCACCUUGUUUUAGAUGUUCUAAUUUCUCAACGAGAGUACGUUUAUAAUAUGAAAACACAAAAUUUUUCCUCAUCAUUGUUUUGCAUUCAUCCCAAGUUUCAAGCUUGUUGCCAACAAUGUACCACCAAAAAGAUGCAGAACCGGUACAUUUAUUACUAGCAACCUUAAUCAUUUGAGCAUUAGAGAAAUCAUACUCAUCAAAUUGUUUGUUUACUGCUAGCUCCCAAUUAACAUAAGCGGCGGAAUCAUACUUACCAUCAAAAACUGGCAAUUUAGAUUCUACCAUUGCAAGAUCAUUAUCAUGUACCUCAUAUGCAAUGCGUGAAGAAGUCGCUAUAUCUCGUUGAUGGUGAAGAAGUCGAGGUUGAGCAUGACCAUCUCGUUUCCCCUUGUGUAAUCCUGCCAUGGUUAGUAGCAAACAAGAAACAUACACAAGAAUAUGCACGCUCCUAUCAACUACUAGGUAGUGGCAGCUGAAAUAUUACACAUACUCAAGCUUUUCACCAAGCUCUUAUAAGUUCUUACCAAAGCAAGCGGAAUGAUAAUGUACACUGACUCAACCAAGCACCCCAAUGGAGUUUGGAUGUAUCGAUGCCUUGGCAAACACUUGCUGUACGGCUGCAAUCAAAUCUGUGGAGCUCUGGGUAGGCUUAAAUAUGUAGCAAAGCAAUAGCAAAUGCUCAAAUCAGAGAAUACAAAGUUGAAUAAUUGUUCAAAGUCAAGUACCGUGCUGGUCCUAGGCUAGAACGUACUAGAGACGCGAGCCUAGACACAAACGAUACCACAAGAUAGCACUAGAAACAACUCAAGCAUGCUCUGAUAUAUAAAAGAAAUCUCAAUGAUUCAACUGAUUUUUCACUUUUCUUUCUUUCUUUUCUUUUUCUUCUUUAUUUUUCUUUAUUUUCUUUAUUUUUCCUUUCUCUUUUUUUUGGGGCGGCUUUUGUUUUCUCUCUUUUUUUUAGCACCUUUCUGCCUUUUUUUUCUCUUUUUUUUUGAUUUUUUACCAAAAACCGACUCAAGGACCUCAAUGUAAGGUCAAAGGGACUCAAAUGUAAAUAUGAAAAUUACAGGGACUCAACUGUAGAAGUCCAAACCAAAAUUAAAAAUUAUACAAAAAUGGAAUGCUCAAGUUAUGUCGGUUCCGUUUUUGCAAACGGAUCUUGAAUCGACACCAAAAUAAAAUUUCAUCGAAGUUUUUAACCAACUCGGACAGAAACAAUCAUGAGGGAGUGUGAGUCGGACUCACAAGUCUCGGCUACGAGAUGACGCAAGGGAAGGAAUCCCACUCGGCCUUGGUUUGGAAAGGUACCAGGUGAUAAAUAGAAACAGACUUGGCACUAAAUAUAAACCAAACCAGUCAAUCUAAUCUAAUCUUCUCCUUUCAUCUUUCUCACGCGCGCAUGCACAGGCGCACCAUCACGGCACACACCAUCACGGCACAACCACCAAACAGAAGCUAUGCAACUCAAGAACUCAAAUACUAACCAACAGAAACUUCUGAAAACUACGAAAAUAGAACUGUGGCAGCGAGCCGAUUCUGUUUUCGUAGGUCCCGACAACAACAGAGACACGGGGGCGGCGAUGACUGUGGUACAAAACGUGACCAGAACUCGAAACUCUAAACGAACUAGACGCUAAUACCAGCAACACGACUCGACAAUGCAACACAAAACUCAACAACGUAAAAACUGAAAAGAACAAUGCAAAGGCACAAAGAUGGCUAGGUAUAGGAUACAAUUUUUUUUGUUGGGAAAUUUUCUGGUUAUAGGUAGAUAAAAACUCACCGAGCAACGAAAGCUCUGAUACCACCUGAUGAACCCUGAGUUCCCCUCGACACUCAAGGCUAUUGUUGGCCCGAUCUUUCGGUGAGUUGUAGGUAACUAUGAUUUGGGAGAAACGUUGACGAUCCGGCUACAACCGUACGAGACGUUGUGUUGCGCCUUAGUGAUCGAUACACCUCUCCGUGGGUUGUUGAUCUUGCCGAUGCAGAUCAACCUUAUUCUUGCAAGCAAAUCGAAGAAACAAGCAAGAACAAGAUAAAAGCAAUCUGAAUUGCAAAUAGGAAUGAAUACACACGAUAAGUUGGGGUUUCGAAUAAAAGCAGACGGACGGUCUAGCCGACACACACGCUGCAAGGAAGUAGCAAUGGCUAAACUUUCAUCUAAACAAAACCCGACUAACCUUGGAGGGGUUACUAGCUAUUUAAGGGAUGGAGGAGGUCAGAAGGGCGUCCUCCCUCUGUUUGGGGCGCAGCCCCCCUUGGGCCCCACUUGGGCCGGGGUCCCAAACAAAGUUACAAGCCCAAAGGCCCAUGACUGGUGAUGCAACACCUUGUUUCUUCAUUUGUGGACGACUGGGAUGGAAUUUGGAGUUGAGGCCGGAUCCGCUGGAAAGAGGACUCCAAGAGCUUUCCACCAAGUACUCACGGGUCAAAAACGGAGGUUGUAUGCAGAUUCGGCGGCUGAUUGAAUUCAGCAAUGUAGUAGGUGGCCGAAUCGGAUUCUAGCACUUGGAGGACUUGAUCUUGAUGUCAUCUUGUUCAUCCAUGAUGUGAGCAAUGGUUGUAUCUGUAGUAGCCAUGGUCACAUCACUUUAGCUUCGUGUCCUUGGACGAACUUGGUGAAGAGCUGACACACAUGUUCCUUGUGGAAAUCGAACCUGAGAAUACUCCCGGGUGAAGUACUACAUCGGUAUAUUCCGUGCACUUGCGAAUUUUAUCUGUGAGGAUAAGAAUUACCAACAACCCUCUUUUGUAACUACUCUAGAUUAGCAUCUUUACUCAUGAUACAAAGUAAUAUUGCCUAGCUAUACUAAACUAGCCGAAUUUAUAGAAAAUAAGUACAAAACCAUCCUUAGAGACACUAAUGUAAUCAUAGCUAGAAAGAUCUAACCCCGAUAAGCAUUGAAUAUUCCCAUGUUGCCAUUCAAUUGAAGCAUCGGCCAUUGCAACCUCAGACGAUAUAUCCACUUGAAAAAUCUCAAUAUCAUCGCCGUCCCAUUGAAUUAAACAUUGCUGCAAGGUGGAGGGAACACAACAACUGGCAUGAAUCCAACAACGACCCAGAAUAACACUAUAGUUACCUUGCACAUCGACGAUGAAGAAAGCAGUUGGCAACGUCUUGUUCCCCCUGGUAAGCUCCACUGAAAAGAUACCUUUCGCCUCCAUUGGUUCACCAUUAAAGCUGUUGAGAGUCAUGUUGGUCUUCUUCAACUCAUCAUCUCCACGCCCAACUUCUUCAAUAACGAAUACGACAUCAAAUUCAUGGCGGCACCACCAUCCACUAACAUACAAGAGAUCGGCUUCCCAUCAAUAUGACCAUUAAGAUAAAGAGACUUCAUAUGACGAUUAGAUUCAUCGGCCUUCUCAAAAACCGCAUCUCUUGGACCUAGUGAAAGUUGAGCAACUUCAACCUCAUCCAUAGCACAAAACUCCAUAGGUAACAUACACACCAUGUUGAUGUCCAUGUCUUCCUUUGGCAGCAAAUCAUCCUUGACAACCCGUUGUUCAUCCUUCUCUACUUGCUUUUCCUUCUCCGCUUGAACAACAACCGGCUCCUCAAUCUCUAUAGGCUUAGGCAUCCACUCCUUCAUUGGCGGCGGUCGCAACUCAUUGAAUCUUCUAUCUGUCUACUCUUCGGCUUCUCUCUCUAUUAAUUCUUGAGCCCGAAGACGUUGCAACCUUCUCUUUUGUGUAGCCGUUAAAUUAUUAGGCAUCCACCUUGAUUUUGGCUCUGCUCCAGGAGGAAUAUAAUGCCCCCCUAUUGAUUUUGCUUGAAGACAACGAAGCCCCUGAACUACCCCUUGCAAAUCUCUUAUCAAACCAGCAUUGCAGCCUAGUCGGACCGGCUAGACGGCCCAGAUAGACCAGCAUGCGGCCGUCGGUCAGACCGGCCAGUAGGCCCGGUCAAACCGGCAUUAAGGCUUCGGUCAAACCGGCCACCUGCGCACAGCUGGUCUCGGCUUCGAUUUCAUCGAUUGGAAUCACCUUGGCUCCAUCUUCAGAAGGUAUUGGCACAUCAUGAGACUCCACUUUAAUAGUAAUCACCUUGAAGUCCUCGCCUCCACCUUGACACGCUUUUCUUCCCUGCUUCCUUCAUCAACCCGAUUUCUAGAUGGAAACCGGCAUUUGUUUGGUGAAGACAAACGCUCAUGUGCUGACCUUCUUGGUUCUCCCCAACUUUGAUGAAAUUGCAUAGGAGGCAUAUGAUCAUACAUUGGUGGUGAUGUCCAAAUGGCAUGAAGUAAGGAAAAGGAUAACCCGGCAGUGGCAUUGGACAAGGUCCCCAUGGCAUGACUUGAGGAUGAUGAGUAAAAGGCGGCUCCAAUGGUCUUGGUGAAUGACCAAAUCGCUCCCUAGAAGGUGAUCUUGCUUUUUUGCCCUUGUUACAACUUUGUUCAACACUUUUCUUCUCAUACUUGUUCAAGAGCAUAUCAAAAGACACCUUGGCUUCCGUGGAGUCUUAGAGCUUGAAGCUUCAUCCUUAUUCUCCUUCCAUACACCAACUUCUUGAUUUUUGUUGGCACAAUCAUCUUCGAUCUAGGCUCUCCAACUACUACUUCCUUCCCCUUAGUAGAUACGGCUUGCUCCGGCCGAAUCAACACUUUCUUGUCAUUGAAAUCAAUAGUAUUACAAGAAAAGAAUCAUGAUAUAGCUUCAUCUUGGAGCCCUCAGUAAAUUUCAAUCAUCCUUCCUCUAUGGCCAAUUGAACCUGUCGUCGAAACACAUUGCAAUCAUUAGUAGAAUGAGAAUGAGAAUCAUGCCACUUACAAUAAGCACGGCGUUUCAAAUCUUCUUGAGAUGGAAUGACAUGGCCUUUAGGUAAUCUAAUUUGUUUUUCUUGCAAAAGAUAAUCAAAAAUCUUAUCACACUUGGCCACAUCAAAGCUAUACUUAACCUCACUUUGCCGAUCUUUACGAGGAGUCGGCAUUAAGUAGAACAUAUAAAUGGCUUAUUCUUGUUAGUCCAUGACCACUCGGCAAUAUAUAUAUCAUGAUCACCAUCAUCAUUAUCAGAAUCACUAUACUCAGGGCAAUCAACAAUACUAGCAUUAGGCUUUUUGUCAUUGGACCUAAAAAAUUUCUUACUCUCCCUAACCCGGCUUUCUUGAGCUAGAGCUUUUUGCAUGAGGUGACUAACAUCAAGCAAUUGUUGGCCAUCUAAUAUUUCUAUAAUAGGAGCAAGUAAACCAUUAAAAGCAAGAUUAGCCAAAUCUCUAUCAAUUAUAUUCAAACUAAAACACCGGUUUCUAACAUCCCUAAACCUUUUAAUGUAAUCAAUUACAGAUUCAUUAUACUUUUGUCUAACCGAUGUCAAAUGACAUAAUCUAAGCUCAGUUUUACCAGUGUAAAAGUAAUCAUGGAAUUUUUGUUCUAAUUGAGCCCAAGUAUGAAUAGAAUUUACCGGUAAAGAAGUAAACCAUGUAAAAGCAGUACCAGAUAAAGAUAAAGAAAACAAGCGUAAUUUAAAAGCAUCCCUGUUACUAGCCUCACCCCAUUGUGCUGAGAAUUGGCCUAUAUAUUCCCAUGUAGUCAUAUUAUCCUUACCACUAAACUUAGUAAACUCAGGAACCCUAAAACCACGAGGAUAUGGGAUAUUAUCAAAAUAAUCAGGAUACGGCUUUUGAUAAACCCUAGUGCGAUUCCUUGGCUCAAUUCCAAAGGCUUCUCUAAUCAUGUUCCUAAGACGUUCCUCCAUAUUUUCAGGCGUUGGUGGGUUUGGUGGCCUAAUAAGUGGUGCGGUGGCACAAUAUUGUUAUAUUGGCCAUACCUAACAUCUUCAGGAUAUCCCCUAUUAGAAUCAUUGUAAGCAUUAGGUAUAUGUGGGGGAACUUGAGGAUUAAUAGUAGCUACACGAGGAUCAUGUAAAAAAAUAUGAUAUAAAAUAGGAUCAACUUCCUGUACUGGAAGAAUUGUGUAGGUCUGACUGGCCCAGAGCCCGGUCUUACCGAUAGACAGAGGUGUAGUCGGACCGGCCUGACCAGUAUAGGGGGUGCGGUCUGACCGGCCAUAGGGCUGCCGGUCAGACCGUGAGGCAGUGCAGUUGGACCGGCCAACACCGGUGUAGGAACCGCCGGUCAGACCGGCGGGGAAGUUAGGGUUUUCUCCCCUAGUCAGUUGCAUGGUCGCCCCAUCGGUUUUACUAAAUAUUUGGUGAACAGGACCUUGACUAGUACUUGCAACAGAAUUAGGCGGCAAAUCGGUCAUAUUAGAACUGAAUUUGCAACUCAUAAAAGCAUCAAUUCGCUUAUCAAAAUAAGAACUCAUAUCAUGCUCAAGUUUAUUAUUAAAAGUAGUAUUAAUAGUCUAAUCUAUGGAACUUGCUACGAGCUUUUGAAGUGGAAGAGAUACCUCAUCACCACUUACCACAUUGAUGGUGUUUUUCGAUGUGAAACUGGUCUGACGAAUAGCUCCUUGACGAGUCUUGAUAAAGCACCUUGCCAAAAGCGCCUCUUGCGUCUCCUUGAGGUGUUGUUCAAUCUCCCGACAUUGCUCCUCAUCUAGAUCCUCCAAUGAGAUGGGGAGGACAUUAGAUGGAUCAACCUCCGGCUUGGUCAUGAUGAAGACGUCCCCAGCGGAGUCGCCAAAAAUUGUGUUGGCAACUUUUUUGGCAAGUAGACAAGCACGAUCGUGACACCUAAACGCCUUGCGGUGAUAUAGAGUCUCCAACCACCCCAAUCUAGCAAAAAGCUAGACCAAAAUGGGUUUUGAUAGAUUAAACCGGCUAGCUGAGCCGAUUUAGAUAGAACGAUGGAUAACUACCCGUCUCAUGGGCAAAUGGAAGGUUUUCAGGACAAACCUACAGAGGAAUUCGUACUCUCGCAACGAAGGCGGACGAUUUAUGACACAAAUUGACAAAGAUGGAUGAACUAAAACUAGGCUAUAUGAAAAGUAGAAGUAAUAUUGAAAACAACGAUUCGAUUGAUUGUGUAGAUUGUAUGUUACAUGGUUUCAAAUGGCCUUAUCCCUUAUAUAGGGGUUGGUCUUGCCCUUUACAGGCCCUCCUCCAUGUCCAACUCGAGAUCAAAACCAAAGGAAAACCAAAACAUAGCCUGUCUCAGACUCCGCCGGUCUGACCGGCCACAUGCCGCUAGUCUAAACAGCCCUCAGGACGCGUUCUGACCUGUCCUGUGGAGGAAACCGACAGAUUUCCCAAAUCUUAGCAAUUUUCCAUAUUUUGAUGGGUUAAUUUGAUCCAUCCCACUAUAAAUAUGUCAAAUUAAAAAAAUAUCAUUAAUAUUUGCAAUAUCGGCUGAAUGCCACUGAAAUUUUCUAAAAUUCGAUUCGUGCCACUGCCGUCUACUUGUCAUCGCCAUCACGUUCUCGUCAUCAUGCUGCUUCUUCCUUCUUUCCUUUUCUUCUUCUCCCCGGUUGGCGUGGAGGGACGGUGCGCUGUCAGUGUAAAGGGACAACGCGGCUGCGAGGUCUGGUUGGCAGAGCAACAUCCGGUGGGCUCUCCUUGUACUGCAUCAGCCGCGCCUCCCGCUCCAACCCCUUGCUCACUACUAGCAUCGGCUGAGACCUUCACAGUCGAAAAGAUAAUCUUCUCUUGAAUUAGAUUACUCCAAAGCCGAGUGCUUCAAUCAUCUUUGCCAUGGUCUCACGAGUACUUUUUACCAAAUCAGAAGACUGUGGAGGGCUGAAAAAUAAUUAAAUAUAAACUUAGGUGCAUCGACUAGAUGCACCUAAUAGGUGUAGCCCCCAACUAUGUGGUUAGUUGAACAAACUGAGCAUAUAGUCAAGGAGUAAAUAAUCCAACCAACUGAGUGGUUUUGAUAAUUAUAGUCAACCGAGUGACUUGAUAUCAAUAUAUAGUAUAUGCGGUGUGAAUCUCCGAAUAACAUGAUCCGAGUGAUAUACCGACUGCUUUGUAAAAUAUGAUGCGUGCAUCAUUGAAAAUUCACAUAGCAAAACAGCUAUAAAGAAGCUUAUAUGCUGUGAAUAAAGAAAUUUCAAAAGUAUUGGACACACACCAUGCGCACAUUGCUUUAACAGAUGUGCUUAAGUCCCUAAAAGACACAUGGUUUCACUACACCUGGAAAUAUACGGCAUAUGUGGUGUAAAAUUCGAGUAAAUAAACUCAUAAAGCAUUUACCAACCGCCUAGAAAAAGACCAAAAUAUAUAAUUAGCCUAAGCCAUAAUAUUGGUCAAUAAAAAUGCACACAUACGUGGCAAAAAACAAUGAUAUUGUGUCCAAUCAAUUGCUUUACAAACCCAAACAGCGCUUUGACUAUAUAAAAAAGUCAGAGGGGCAGCAAUGAAAAACUUCACUAUUCGGCACCUUUUAAAAUGCAUUAUACCAACUCCUAAAAAAUUGAGUAACUACGGUAUAAAAGGAUUUUGAGGUAUUGGGCACAUAAUCACGCACACUUUUGCCUAAGCAAAAAAUGCCUAAGUCCCUAAAAGAACGUGACAUGCCACACCUAAAAAUAUAGGUUGCAGACAUAUUAGGCCUAGACCUCAAAUAUGUCUACCGAUACCCUUAAAAUAUGAAGAAAUAGAGCACGCCAAUUAAUAUGAUCCCGAGUGAUAAAUUUCCCGGUUGAUGUAGAUCGAGUGUAACUCAUAUGAGUGGCUUCUAAUUUGAGUAAUUCUCCCUCAUGGGUUGUACCAAAGUAGAUGUGAUAAUUGAAUCCCGACUGGCACAAGUACUUAGGUGAUAGCCCUCACGGGAAAUAAUAAAUGAUUCAGUCUUUGAGCGUAGGAAAUAGUCUCAGGAACAUGAAUUCACGUUGCAUGUAUCCGUGACAAGUCCAAAUUGAAGGUAUGAUCCUUGUGUUUGAGAUAAUAAGCCACCGAGGAUGUAGCUUGUCCUUCUGUUGUAGUCAAAAUUGUCCAUUGAAGGCAACUGACACAGUUGGCAUGGAGACGAAAUGACCAACAUGAAGAUGAUAUCACCCGUCAAAGCUGACGAAGAUGUUACUGGUGGUAAAGACAAUGACACCAAUUAAAGGUGAUGAAGUCGCAUAACCAUGGAGGCGACGAAACCAGUCGGCAGCAGACAAGUCAGUCAGCAGUAAAGACGAAGGCGCCCAGCAACAGCAACAGAGUUGUGCAGCCAUGGCAGCGAAAUAAUCAGUCGAUAACAAACGAGGCGCCCGGUGAAGAAGACGAAGACGCCCAUCAGUUAAGGCAUAAUAAGUCAGCCGUGAAAGCGAAGACACCAUGGGCAACGGCGGAGUCAAGCCGAUGGUGAAAAUGUAGACGCUUAUCAAUGGCAAUGGCGAAAUCCAUGAAUCAUGCAAAAGAAGAAAACAAUUGCCGACAGCAAACGCAAUCGGCGAUAAUGACAAUUGGUGGCAACGGAGACAGCCAGUUAUGAUGACGAAGUUGCCCACCAACGGCAGCAGAGUAGGCAUAGCCGAAGAGGCUUGACAGGAUGUUUAUGAAGAUGACGAUGUCAAUGAUCCAGUCAAUAGCAGUGUAGCAGCCGAUGAUAACGGCAAGGUCAUCCUUCAGUAAAUGCGUAGUAGGCCAACUGUGAAAGCGAAAUAACAAGUGGACAAUGACGGAAGCAACCGAAGACAAAGACAUAGUCUCCCAAUAGCGACGGCGGAGACAUCAAAGCCGAUGAAUUAGAGGUACUGGUGAUGAUGUCAGAGACAGUAAUCCAGCAAACCGUUGAGAAGAUAUCAAAGCUCAAGUAGUUUCCUUGAUGCUAGCGUGUGCGUAAUGUAGAUUGAUGCAACGCCUCUUGAUUUAUCAAGAUGACGGUAGAACUUGGUGUUGUAGCUGUAGAAGAUCUUCACUUGGAGGAAAAUACUGUUGUUCAACUCAUUGAAUCUGAGUUGAUUGGUUGAUGACUCCAAACUCCCAGACAUUUAGAUUAAAUCUUGGACUUGAUACUUGAGAAACUUUGGAGAAGCCAAAAUUGCCGGUGAAAUAAUUGUUGAUGCAUGCCGAGAUGUCGAGGUUCUUGUAGACGUGGUGAUCGGUGAAGCAGCAAAGCUUGCGAAGUAGAGGCAAUAGAGUUUGCCGGUGCCGAAGAUAAUAAAGAUGAAGUCACUCCACCAUGGUGACAGAGUUGCAUAGUCGUGAUGAAGUGAACACGAGUCAGCGGCAACAGAAGCAAACCAAUAGCGAAGACGCGUAGUUGUGAAGAUAAAAACACCAGUCAACGACAGCAUAACCAGUCGGCGACGGAAGAAGUAAAAUGAUGACGAAAAUGAAAACGUCCUUGAACGGCGGCAAAAUAGGCCAGCCGUGAGAGUGAAGACACCAUGGGCGGCGGCGAAGGCAAACUGGCGAUGACGAUGACGCCUGUCAAUGAUGACGAAUACGCGCAGCCGUGGAGGCGAAAAAACCAGUCGGCGUCAGACAAGGCGGCCAACAAUGAAGACGAUGAUGUCCAUCAGUAGUGGUAGCGGUAUAAACCAGCCGUACAGGCGAGGGCACUAGUCAGCAGCAGAAGAGACGACCGGCGGUGAAGACGAUAAGGCCAAAUCAACACUGGCAGAAUCAUGCAGUCAUGGGAGUUAAGAAACCAGUCGGCAGCAGACGUAGGCAGCUUGCGUUGAAGAUGAUGAUGCCUAUUAGUGGUGGCGGCGAUGUGGCCAACUGUGAAGACGAUAGCACCAGUUGGCGUUAUACGAGGCGGUAGGUCGGUGAAGAUGUAGACGUCCAACAACGGUGGCAUAAUAGGCCAGCCAUGCAGGCGGAGACACCAGUCGGCGGCGGCGAAGGCAAGCCGGUGGUGAAGACGUAGACGCUCAACAACGGUGUUGUGACCAACCAAUCGUAUAGGCGAAAACACCAGUCGGCGACGAACGAGGCGGCCGGUCGGUGAAGACAACGAAGCCCAACAACGGCUGUAUAAUAAGCCAGCAGUGCAGGCGGAGACACCAGUCGGCGCCGGCGUAGGCAAGCCGGCGGUGAAGACGUAGACGCCCAACAACGGUGGUGUGACCAUCCAACCGUAAAGGCGGAGACACCAGUCUGCGACAUACGAAGCGGCCAGUCGGAGUAGAUGUAGACGCCCAACAACGUCGACAUAAUAGGCCAGCCGUGCAGGCAGACACACUAGUCGGCGGCGGUGAGGCGGCCGGUCGGUGAAGACGUAGACGCCCAACAACGGUGGUGUGACCAUCCAACCGUGAAGGCGGUGACACCAGUCGGCGACAGACGAAGCGUCCAGUCGGUGGAGAUGUAGACGCCCAUCAACGACGACAUAAUAGGCCAGCCGUGCAGGAUGAGACACCAGUCGGCGGCGGUGAGACGGGCGGUCGUUGAAGACGUAGACGCCCAACAACGGUGGUGUGACCAUGCAACCGUGAAGGCGGUGACACCAGUCGGCGAUAGACGAAGCGGCCAGUCAGUGGUGGAAGCAUAGACGCCCAACAAUGGUGGUGUGACCAACUAACCGUGUAGGCGAGGGCACCAGUCUGCGGCGGCGAAGGCAGCCGGUCAGUGAAGACAUAGACGCCCAUCAACGGCGGCAUAAUAGGCCAGCCGUGCAGGCAGAGACACCAGUCGGUGGCAGACGAGGCGGCCGUUCGGUGAAGACGUAGAUGCCCAUCAAAGGCGGUGUGACCAACCCAUCGUAUAGGCGAAAACACCUGUCGCCGGUGAAUGAGGCGGCUGGUCGUUGAAGACAACGACGCCCAACAACGGCGGCAUAAUAGGCCAGCUGUGCAGGCGGAGACACCUGUCGGCGGUGGCGAAGACAAGCCGGCAGUGAAGACGUAGACGCCCAACAACGAUGACCAACCAACCGUAUAUGCGAAGAGACACCAGUCGGCGCCGGCGAAGGCAAGCCGGUGGUGAUGUUCUGACUAAUCCAUUCCUGAAGCGUAGGAGAUAAGCGUUGAAAGACAUGAAUCCUAUUAUGCAUAUCUGGAUCUGGAUCCUGCAGAACAAACAUAUAGGAUGAGUAGUAUCUGAUGUAAAUAUAAUACUCGAGGAAAAUUCAACUAUUUUAAAAUGUUUAUAAAUAUGUAUUUCUCCUCUUGUCAAUUUUGAUUUCCCCGAGCGGAUGACUCCUUACGUUUAAACACUCUGCCCGACUAGUCAUAGCCCCCAAGCACUAGGAGUCGGCCUAGGCACUUCCCAAACAUGCAUACGAGUGGCAUGAGUUCGUCAUUAAUGGAACAAAGUUUCACGUAUCAGAGUUUACUACUCGGGUACUUUUGCAAUUGUUGAGAACAGAAAAUAAAUUAUACUUUUGUAAUUGUUAAGAGCAGAAAAUAAAUUAUCUUAUCUCUAUGCUUUUGAUUUCUUCCGAGUAAUACUUAGCACCUUGUGUUAUACACUCCAUCCAACGAGCCCCCGGGUGCUAGGAAUCGGCCCAAAGGCAACUAUCCAUCGACAACCAAGCGGAAAGCAUAGGGAUAUAGAGCUCCAUAACUCGAUAGGCACCUUUGUACUCGGAUUAUAUCGCAAGCAAUCAAGAUAAAUAUUAUGAAAAUUAUUAAAAAAAUAUGAUAUAGCAUCUGUAGCCCCCGACUCACUAGUCAACGGCGAACUAGUUGAUGUAGUGAGGCAGAGGAAAGAGAAAAUAUCAUAUAAAGAAAAUUAAUGAUGACUUAGCUUUUUCAUAUUCCCUCGGUGACAACAGAAAUAGCCGAUGUGGGAACGAAGUAGUCCAUCAAUGAUGAUGAAAACACUAACCGUGUAAGCAGCUGAGGCGACCGGCGGUGUUGAUAAAUAAAUGCCCAUCAAUGGUGGUGUGACCACCAACCGUGGAGGCGAACACACUAGUCGGCGGCGGCAAAGGCAAGCCAAUCGGUGAAGACGUGGACACCCAUGAACGGUGGUGCGACCAACCAACCGUGUAGGUGAGGACACCAGUCGGCGGCAGCGAAGGCAAGCCGGCGGUGAAGUCGUAGACGCCCAACAAAGGCGGCAUAAUAGGCCAGCCGUGUAGGCAGAGACACCAGUCAGUGGCGACGGAGGCAGGCCGGUCGGUGGGGAUGUGGAUGCCCAUGAAAGGUGGUGUGACCAACCAACCGUAUAGGCGAGGAUACCAGUCGGCGGCAGCAGAAUCAACCGGUCCGGAUACUUCAAAAUAGAACAAUUAACAGAUCAAUCUGUUUAGUACCAUAAGCAAAAUUAUUUAUAUAAGCUCGUGUAUAUAUGUUUGGAACAUAAAAGCAUGCUUAAUGAAUUAAUUGGUGCAUGAUUCCGGCGAGGUGUCCUGGAUGAUGUCGAUUGGUCAAUACAUGCAUGUGGAUGACUCAUGGUAGCUGGCGAUCUCGAUCGUGUGUGAGCUGUGAGCACUGCCUGUGGUUCCACGUUACUCCCGUGUCGGAUUACACCGGCAUCUGUACAUGGUGCAUGGGGGAACACGAGGUGUUGGGCAGACACACCGAGAUGGCAGCCAUUGAUCUUGUUCUCAGUCGGCAUACAAAAACAAGAGAGUAACAGAAAAUUAAUCUGCAGUUAUAAAACAAUCUAACUACUGAAACGGCAAAGCCAAAUGAUUUUGAAGAUUAAAUCAAUGAAAUCGCCGGGACUAAUCCCUUCGGCUGGAUUGAAUCCGAGACGAAAAGAACAUCCUCAAAUACGGCGAUGUCGGAGAUUGGCUUCAUCGCACUCGUCGAAACUCGACGCACCUCUAUCUCGGAGGAUAUGAUACCUGCGUCGUGUCACCAAAGCAUCCAUUUUGUCUCAGGAAACUACUGAAUAACUAGCUCAUCGAGAUUCAAGAACUAAUUGCUGCUAGAGAGUGCUGUUAAUAAUCUUGAGUUGCUUGCUUACGCUAUGAUUCAUGGAGUGGUCGGAGUAGAAGAGCUUGCGGCCGGUGAUGUCGAGCUCGGGCGGACCCGAUAGCCUUGAUGUCGUCCAUGGACCAGCGGUUUGUUCUAAGAUAUAGCUUUGUGUUGUUCUCUCUUCUAGCCGACCGUGGAGGAGGAGCUCAACGUGGCACGCGCCGCGAUACGACGUGCUGCAUGGCAACAUCACCGCCGCGGAUGCGGAGGUGAGGGUGAAGACGUCCGCUCCGCCAACUGGCUGGCGUUCUACGCGAGCCGGACUAUGCGCUCCUUUCGCAUGUCUACCGCAACCCGGCGGCGUUCUACUGGUAUGAUUAGCUUAGCAUCCGUCCACGGCGGUGGGGCCGGUGUCGUUUUUAUCGAUCACGAGCGUGCACCAUGGAUGCAUGAGUUACCUGGAGAUGAAUAAGCGGUUCAAGGUGUACAUGUACGACGAAGUCGAGCCACCGAUCCUGCAUGAGUGUCCGUCCAAACAUGUACACCAUCGAAGGCCGCUUCAUCGACGAACAACUCGACCUCAUGGCGCCGCCGUCACCGCUAGAGUGGCGUCCGCACGUGCGACCCUACACACGCCCAUACCUUCUUCUUGUCGUUCAGUGUUUCCUUCGUGUACUGCCCACUCUCCCAGGACCAUCCUUAUGUCCGCGUCGUCGUCGCUCACCACCCCUUCUGGAACCGAUCCGCCAGCGCCAACCACUACAUGCUCUCCAGUCACGAUGUUGGCGGCGCAGAGCGCGACCACACCUGUGACAUUCCGGCCUUGGGCUUAAUAUGAUUAAUAGAAUACUCAUACCAAUAAGUUGCAACUUAUUUUCCGGAAUCCGAUCUCCAAAGAACUCUGAGGUUAAGCGUGUUUGCCUAGAGCAAUUUUUCCCCAGUACACACGAGCUGUGCAGAAAAGACUAGUGUUGGUCUAUGAGGGCAAGACAAAGUGUGCUGAUUGGCCUAGAGCAAUUUCGGAAUGGUGGCGUGAUCCAGAGCUGUGCGACGAGGAGGAUGUGACGGCGAUGAUGGAAAAGUAAACGGCAGUAGCAUGGAUCGAAUUUUAGAAAAUUUCAGUGGCAUUCAGCCGAUAUCGCGAAUAGUAAUAGUAUUUUUUUAAUUUGACAUAUUUAUAAUGGCGUAGAUCAAACUAACCCUAUUUUAAUCCCAAGUGUCAAAAUAGGGUGUAAACAUUACCCAUAAUCUCUACAAGACGUGUGCGUGGGUGUUGAGUGUGACGUUUUCACGCGCUCGUCCUCUCGUCGGUGUUCCUCUCGGCUCGGCGGCACGGCCACAAGGGCGAAGCGGCUGGGUUUGGACGCGCAACCCCAAAAACGCCCAGGCCUUUGACAAUCUUCUGUAUGAUUUAAUGUGUACUGAUAUAUCUCUUUUUAUUUCCCAUACACAUGUAGCCAGCAAUGAUCUUUUUAGCCCUCUUCUCCUGUGUUAAUUCCAUAUUAAUUAGUGAAGUGAUCUUUUCACCUGUAGUAACAUUUCAAUAUUUUUUUCCCAAUAAAUAAACAUUUCAAUCAUUCUGUUAAUGCCUUAGCAUGUAAAAGAGCUCUCAUAUGGCGAGGCCCAACGUUCAAGUCCGUUAGUUUGUGAAAAGACUCGGGGUAAUUUCAAUCACUUACCACUACAUGGUAUUUUUAAGCCAUUGAAAUGUAAGUAAAAAUACUAGUUUGCAUUAUCCCUACAUUGUUAGCAUUGUCGGUAUCAUGCUAAAGACAUGCAUCUUCUUUUUUAAAGGACUAGCCUUUGAUAACUUAUACUGUAUCAACCUAUUUUACUCAGCUUUCUGCCAACAAUACUCUCUAACUUUCUCGAUUUUUCUCCCCACUGCAAUGCACGGUUAUAAUUGCUAGUAUAAUAAUAAAUACAUAAUUGAGUUAAAAGUUGUAAAAUAUAAGUUGAAAGAUUCAAAAAACUGAGUAGAACAGUUUCAUAAUUUAAGUUGAAAGUUUUAUAUUUUAAAUAAAAUAAUAAAAAGAGAUGAUUUAAAAGUUUUUAAAUAUGAGUUGAAAGUUUAAAAUUUUAAGUUGAAAGCUACACAAAUUAGAAUCGAGUUAGAAAGUUUCAAAGAAUAUUGAAAUCGAUGCAUGUUUCCAAUUUGGGUAGAGUUUUAGGGAGUUAUGUUUUAAAAAAGUUUGAGUUAAAAGCUUUAAAAUUUAAAUCUAUUCGAAACCACUCAAAGGAAACAUAGAAUUGCUAAGAAAUAACCAUAUUCAGAGUCAUUCACCUGCUGUCCUUGUAUAUUUGGAAGUGUUCGCUAGAAGUUGAAGUGACUCUAGCAGGUACAAUAGCAUACUAUAAGCUAGCUAUAAACAUAUUUUUACGAGAUAAGAGAAGAGAAAGAAGAGCAGUGGGCUACAGAUUUGCCAGCUGCAGCACGGACGCCAAGACGCAAUGUGCGUAUGACAGGUGGGACCAUAUAUUAAUAGUGUAGUAUACACUGGUGGAGAAGUGGUUUUUACUUCCGAUUGGUAGCCCCCUCGCCGGCCGCCGGCACGCCGCCGCGCCGGCCGCCACCUGCAACGCAGCCACGCCGCAAGUAGGCCGUCGCCCGGCCCUCCACCAGCCCUCUGCUAGCCGGCCACGCCGCCGCCUCGUGCAGAUCGAGAAGUGGAGAGGAGGGGGGAGGGGGAGGAGGAGAGGAAGAGAUAGGGUGAGUAAGGAGAGGAGGAGAGGACUUAAAAGGAGAGGAGGAGAUAGAACUGGAAGGAAGAUCCUCGAUCCGAUCUGCUCCCAUGCCUCGAUCUCCGCGCAUGCCGAUCUUUUAUUCCGGUUGGUGUUAUCAACUGGCACUACAAAUUGAUCUUUAGUACCGGUUGGUAACACCAACCGGGACUAAAGAAAAUAUAGGGGUCUGACACCGCCUGUCCUCUUUUAAACCGCGACUAAAAAUGAAAAGUACCCUUGAGCUUUUCAAUACAACCGGUACUAUUGUGAAAUUUGGUUGACUGACCAAAGAUGGUUUUUCCAGUAGUGAUAUGUUUCUAAAUAAUGGCUAUUAAAUUAACUAUAGAUGAUUUGGAGCUAGUAGUUGCCUAUACUACUAAACUUGCUCCAAAUCAUCUAUAACCAAUGUAAUGGCUAAUUCAUACAAUAGUUGCUUACUAUACUAUUAAUACCUGGUCCCACCAGUCAUACACACAUUACGUCUUAUUGUCCAUGCUGCAGCUGGCUAUAUAUUUGUAGCCCCGCUGCUUUUCUCUCUUUUACUUUUAUCUCUUUAAAAUAUAUUUAUAGCUUGCUUAUAGCCUAUACCUACUCUAAUCUGGCCCGACGCGUAUCGGAAUCGGAUACGAUUCUGCCUCUGAUUCACCUCCGUGUCGGAUACUUUUAUGAUUCUCUACCCGUGCCAUUAGAGCAAGGAUAAUAGUGGGCUAUAAGCAAGCUAUAUGCUUAUGUGGAAGAGAGAGAUAAACAAAAGUGGGGAGUGUUGGCUCUCAUGCAAGAGCUAACUGCACACAAACUCCAAGAAAUAUGCAUUAAAUUCAUGGUGAGAGAAAGAGAGAGGAUGAAGAAAAUAAAGAUAAACUUAUAGCCAACCUACUAUACAUGUUAGCUUUAACAUUGACUAAUAGUAAGUAGUGAGCUCUACUAUUAAACUUGCUCUUAUAUAUUGGUGGAAACUGGGAAAGGUGGGCGGCACAGACAUCAUCGAUUGCCAGUCAUGGCUGGGUCGUCGUCGUCGUCCAAGCAAGAUCGUGCCCUGCAGGCCAAAAACCUCGCCGAGAGGUGCUUCCUCGCUGGCGACGUAGCUGGAGCGAAGCGAUGGUGUCAGAACGCGCUGAAGCUGGACCCGGACCUCCCCGGCGUCGCGCAGGCCGCGGCCGCCUACAACGUGCACUCCGCCGCGGCGCUCAAGGCCAUCGGGGUCGCCGGCUGCGGGCCCGACUGGUACGCCAUGCUCGGCCUGCCCCAGCCGCGCUCCGACCUGGUCACCCACCACGACGCCGUCAAGAAGCAGUACCGGAAGCUGUGCCUCCUGGUGCACCCCGACAAGAACACCUCCGCCGCCGCCGACGGUGCGUUCAAGCUCGUCCAGACAGCCUGGGACGUGCUGUCGACCAGGCAUCCCCCGCCGGGGGCCACCGCCGCCGCCGCCUCGGUGUGUACGCUUCCGAUGCGGGCAGAAGACCUGUUUCGUACCAAGCCUACAGCCGCCGCGCCGGCGACGCCACCGGCGGCCAAGAGGCCUCCUGAACCGCCACCGAAGACGACGCAGAGGCAACAACCACCAGGUCCUCCGCCAAAGCCGCAACCGAGCGCACCGAAGCGACCUCAGGUCGUCCAGAUGCGUCGGCCUGCUCCGGCAAAACAACAGCGGCCGACGAUUCUGCCGCCGCCACCGGUAGUGAAGCGACCAUCACCGACCAGGGGAAAAUGCCAGUAUUGCGGCGCGGCAAUCUCCAAAUCUUUCCGCUGCAUGAGCUGCCACCGGAGCCCAAUGGACAACAAGCCGGGCUAUUCCGACAAUGACGAAUACGACGACUAUUACGCCAAAAAAAAUAUGGAAUACGAUGACUACUACUACCACGACGACAGAUGAAAUCUGACGAUGAGUACAGCAGGGUUACGAGUAUCAUAUAUGAUGAGUAGAAAAUUAGGUAUGUGGCUCAAGAUUUCAAUUCCUGGGCUUAUUUAUUGUGCCUUUAAUUAGAUUUUUUACUCUUCUUUCUCCAAAGAGUACUUUUGAACCGAAUUCUUUCUCGGAAGAGUUUCAUAUUACAACUUCCAGUAUCACCAUUGUAAUUGUCCCCGUUGUAAAGAUUUUUUUUUUCUUAUGACAGGCCUGGUAAGUAAGAUACAGUCAGCCUAAAAGUUAUUUCAUAUACAUGAAAUCCUCGUGAAAUCUUUACCUAUUAUAAAAAAUAGAGAUGAUUCUCACUACACCAGAUCACCCUACAUGUGACGGUGACAUUUGACGGUUAUGGCCUUGGUCACUGAAUAAAGAUCGCUGGUGACUCCAAUCACCUUUGACGGGUGGCAGACCGUCAGAAAUGAGCAUCACCUCUGAUGGUCCUGCACUUUCUGGGCCGUCACAGGCGAGGGCCCCCCUCAAGUCACUCAUGGUUGCAACCCGUCACAGGUGACACAUCUUUGACGGGUCCGAAGUUGAUGGCCCGUCACAGAUGAUCACAUGUAUGUAUCUGCAUUGAAGCCCAUCACAAGUGACUCACCUUUGACGGAUUGAUUUAGCUAGCCAUCACAGCUGAUGCCAACUGUGACGGCCUUUGCUUACGACCCGUCAGUGAUGAGCUAAUUUUGAAAAUAAAUUAAUUUCAAAAUAUUGGCUAGCCUCAGGAUUUGCUAGCCACGCCCUCUGAAAAAACAGAACCAUCACAGAAUCCCGCAAUAAUACAUGUUUCUAAUCUUAGCACAUCAUUCAAAAAUAACAUCACACACAUGCAUUCCAAGUUCUCACAAGAAUUUCAUAGACAUUCACACAUUCCCACUGCCACAAACUUACACAAUUUCGGUGCUUGCACAUGAAACAACAAACUUACCUAAGUUUCUUGUAUCCUAUUCCUUUUGAACCUCCAUGAUGAGCUGUCAUUUUAAAAAAGGGAGAAACAAUUGAACGGUACAAAGUAAUUCGUAGUUGAUCAAAAUUUGAUGACAAUUUGGCAAACUACCAUAGUUAUUGUGUUGAUUUUCUAAAAGAAACUAAGUACAAAGAGAUCGUAUUAAACUACUCUUGAUGGACCAAUUUCGACCGUCAAUAUAACUAAAAUAAAGGAGAACUAGCUAUGCUUGCAAUGCAUAUUUGUUUUAGAAUAACUUAUUUCCACUUGUACUUGAAGUCUAUCUGUCUGUAGAUAAAGAGAUACAAUAUGGAGGAGAACCGACAGCAAAACACUCAAACAAUCAAUUAGACACUGUCUAUCAGACUUAUGGACAAAUGGGCCAAAAACUCAAAAUUGACACGAUCAAAAAGUCCCAUAAUUCACAAUUCUAAGUCUAGAAGCGGAAGAGGAGACGGCCGCCGAGUACUGGGCUGGUUGGCCUAGCCCAGGGUUCGGCCGAACCAGUCCCAGCGCCAUUCGAUCCAGGCAUUUGAUCAGACGGUGGGAAUUCACUCCCAAUGGCGGUUGGAGGGUAUUACCAACCUUUCCAACUGCCACAACCAUCAUUCUUCAGCUAUAAAAGGCCCUCACCACCUCCACUACUUCACACACUCAAACAAGCUCAAGAUAUCUCUUCUACACUUUAGUUUUGUAUUCUAGUGUUAAGUGGAUUAGAAUAGAAUAGCUCUCGUAGUCCUCGGAGUCUUCGGAGGAAUUUCGGUAUGGCUUUAGUAGUUUUCCUUCUUUCUUUUGUAAGACUUUUGGAAUUAAUGAAAUACUAUUCUUAAUAUACUUUUGAUACUUUAGUAUAUCUGAGUAACGUCUUUACUUUAUAUCUACAUCGAUACAGUCGUAUAGUUAACCUACCAGAGAGAUGCAGUGGUGUGAGUUUAAUGUUCGAUUACUCGGUUACUCUAUGUCAUCUCGGGGGAUGUAGAGUAGUAUUUAAUAAUGUAUAUGUGGUGUCUAGAUUAUUAAGUAUCAUUAUAUGGGCAUAUAUGCUACGGGUCAGUCGAGGUGGGCCUCUAAAGCAUCUAGGCCCCCGUAGUUAGUUUUGGUAAUUAAUGACAAGCGCAAAUUGUGGACUAACCAUUCUAUCAAGUUAUAUGUUUUGAGUUAGGUUCACAUCGUGUGUGCACAUGGAUGAUUAUCGAUGGAUUAAAAUUUGAUGUCGCAAAGCAAAGGAAAAGAAGACGGUAAACUAGUGUUUUAAUUUCAAAUUGAUCGAGGUGUAGGGCGAUCAAAUUUGCUAGUUUAUUUUUAGCUUCGCUGUACUAUCAAGGGGGGAAAUGACCUAGCAAAGAGAUUAUUUAAAUUGCCACAUUAGGUCAUUGCAUUUAGACUCACAUGCAUUUGCUUUCAUUUAUUGAGCUAGUGUGGCACUUGGUCAUCUUCGAGCCGGGUCAUCGCUUGUUACUCUUGGAGGUUUCCGCCUCUUAGACAGAUUUUGGAGGAGUUGCCCGGUGGCCUCUCUUAGAAGAUUGUGGAGGAGGUCCGGUGCCGGUUGUGAGUGGUUUGGAGUUCACCAUCUUCGGAGUGAAGGAAGAACUAUCCCGAGUGAUCGAGGCUUGGGUAGUCCUCUCCGUAGGCCGGCUCCCGCCUUGCCUACCCCUUGAUGAAGGGGGCGUGCAGUGGCUUCCUGGUUGAGCGGUGGAGUUGGGCUCACCUCAACAGGGAGUAGGAAACCGGCGAGUUUCAAAACCUCGGUGAAAAAUCUCUUGUCUCCUUGUCUCAUUUAUUUGUUGCAUUUACAUUUGUGCAAUUUACAUUCCUAGAGACAUACUUGAGAUCAUAUCACCCUAGGAUUGCUAAACAUUGACUUAGGAGUGUGAUUUACUUUCCUAGAGAUAUAAUUGAGCCACUAUCACCCUAGGUUUGCAAAACAUAACUUAGUUGCUUUGUUAGACUUGACCCUCACCGAGCCUAGCAACUUAGGUUAGUUUUGAUUAGGUGUCAUUUAGUUUUUAAAUCGCCUAUUCACCCCCCCUCUAGUCGACAUCUCGAUCCUACAAGUGGUAUCAAAGCUUGGUCUCUCUUGAUUGGGCUUCACCGCCUAGAGAGAAGAUGUCGAACGAGAUGAACCAUGUAGGGAAGGCUCCCAUGUUCAAUGGAACAAACUACUCCAAUUGGAAAAUUAGAAUGUCUACUCACCUCAAAGCUAUGAGCUUCCAUAUUUGGAGUUUUGCGGAUGUAGGCUUUGCUAUCACCGGCAUGCUCUUGACGGAGAUUGAUCACCGUAACCUCUAACUCAAUGCGUUGUUCAACUCUUUGAGCCAAGAGGAGUUCCAUAGAGUGAGCAACCUUGAGACCGCAUAUGAGAUUUGAAACAAGUUGGCGGAGAUCCAUGAGGGCACAAGUGAGUACAACGAUGCCAAGUUUCAUUUCCUCAAGAUCCAAUGUGAGACAUUCUCCAUGUUGCCUCAUGAGAGUGUGAAUGACAUGUAUGGGAGGCUCAAUGUCAUUGUGAAUGAUCUCAAGGGGCUUGGGGCAACCUACACCGAUCUUGAGGUUGCCCAAAAGCAUAGAAGGAGAGCUUCGCCUCAUCCAGGUCCGAAGAAGAAGGUGAUGAUGAUGCAAGCUCCAAGAAGAAGAAGAUGGCCGUUGUUGCUAGCAAGGAGGCUCCAUCACUCUUCGCUCCACUUUGUCUCAUCGCAAAGGGCUCUUCUAAGGUAACAUCUCUCAGUGAUAGUGUGAGUGAUGAUGAUUGUGAUGAUGUUUCAUAUGAUGAGCUUGUGAGUAUGUUUGAGGAGCUCCAUGCGUAUAGUGAAAAGGAGAUUGUCAAGUUCAACGCCCUAAAAAAGGAUCAUGCUUCUUUGGAGGUCUUGUAUGAGGAGCUAAAGACUUCACAUGAGAGACUCACCAUUUCUCAUGAGAAGCUUAAGUAAGCUCAUCACAACCUCUUUUCCACUACUCAGCAUGGAACUCACAUUGAUGUUGGCAUAUCUUGUGACUUGCUUGAUGAUAGUGCUUCUUGUCAUAUUCCUCAUGUUGCAUCAUCUAGCAUUUCUACCUCUUGUGAUGAUCUUAUUGAUAUACCUAGCUCUAGCUCUAGCUCUUGUGUUUCUAUUUGUGAUACCUCACUUGUUGUUGAGAACGAUGAGCUUAAGGAGCAAGUGGCCAAGCUCAACAAGAGUUUGGAGAGGUGGUUCAAGGGUAAGAACACUCUUGACAAGAUUUUGAGUGAGCAACGGUGCAUCCUUAACAAGGAGAGAGUUGGAUUCAUUCCAAAGAAGGGUAAGAAACCUUUUCACCGUGCCACUCCUUUUUUCAAGAGCAAUGGUAUGUAUUGCUCCAAGUGUCGUGAGGUUGGGCAUUUGGUGAAUGAUUGCCCCGUUGGUAAGCCUUCUGAGACAUGCAUGUUUGAUUCUCAUUAUAUGAUUAGAAAGGCUUAUGAUGGUAGUAUUGCUGCUAGAUAUGUGAGUUCCCCUAUACUUGGUGGUAAAAAGAAUGCCAUUUGGGUGCCCAAAGCUUUGGUUUCUAACCUCCAAGGACCCAAACAAGUUUGGGUACCUAAAAGAGCUUGAUCUUCUUUUGUAGGUGAAUUAUCGCACCGGUGGGAGCCAUUGGGUGCUUGAUAGUGGAUGCACUCAACACAUGACCGGUGAUAGGGCUAUGUUCACCACAUUUGAAGUAGGAGGGACAGAACAAGAGAAAGUGACAUUUGGAGACAGUAGCAAAGGAAAGGUAAUUGGGUUUGGUAAAAUUGCUAUCUCCAAUGAUUUGUUAAUUGAAAAUGUCUCUUUUGUUGAAUCUCUAAGUUUAAAUUUGCUUUCGGUUGUACAAAUUUGUGAUCUUGGCUUGUCAUGUGCUUUCUUCCAGCUAGAGGUUAUUGUUUCUACUCUUCAUGACAAGUCUUGUGUUUUCAAAGGUUUUGGAUAUGGAAAUCUUUAUUUGGUUGAUUUCAACUCUAGUGAAGCAAAUUUGAAAACUUGUUUAGUUGCAAAAACUUCAUUGGGUUGGCUUUAGUAUAGAAGGCUAGCCUAUGUUGGCAUGAAUCAAUUGAGCAAACUUUCAAAACGUGAUCUAGUUGUGGGCUUGAAAGAUGUGAAGUUUGAGAAGGAUAAACUUUGUAGUGCUUGACAAGCCGGUAAACAAGUUGCAUGCUCUCAUCCUUCUAAGAGUAUCAUCUCCACAUCUAGACCAUUGGAGCUCUUGCAUAUGGAUUUGUUUGGCCCAACAACCUAUAAGAGCAUUGGUGGUAAUAGUCAUUGUCUUGUGAUUGUUGAUGGUUAUUCUUGCUAUACUUGGGUGUUCUUUUUGCAUGAUAAGUCUAUUGUUGCCGAGCUUUUCAAAAAGUUUGCAAAAAGGGCCCAAAAUGAAUUUAGUUGCACUCUUGUGAAAAUUAGAAGUGACAAUGGUUCCGAGUAUAAAAAUACCAAUAUCAAGGACUAUUGUGAUGAUCUUGGUAUCAAACAUGAGCUUUCCGCUACCUACUCACCUCAACAAAAUGGUGUAGUGGAGAGGAAAAAUCAUACAUUGGUUGAGAUGGCAAGUACUAUGCUUGAUGAAUAUGGUGUUUCCGAUACCUUUUGGGUGGAAGCCAUAAACACUGCUUGCCAUGCAACCAAUAGGCUUUAUUUGCAUCAUCUCUUGAUAGACUUUCUACGAGCUAAUUGUUGGGAGGAAGCCAAAUAUUGCCUAUUUUUGAGUUUUUGGUUGCAAGUGUUAUAUUUACCGAAAGGGAGUUAGACUAACCAAAUUUAAAAGUCGGUGUGAUGAAGGGUUUCUUCUAGGUUAUGCCUCAAAUAGCAAGGCAUACCGGGUCUACAAUAAGAACAAAGGUAUUGUGGAAGAAACUGUUGAUGUUCAAUUUGAUGAAACUAAUGGUUCCCAAGAGGGGCACGAGAAUUUGGAUGAUGUAGGUGAUGAAGGCUUGAUGAGAGCUAUGAAGAAUAUGUCUAUUGGAGAUGUCAAGCCUAUUGAAGUGGAAGACAAGCCAUCCACCUCCACUCAAGGUGAGCCAUCUACUUCCGCUGCGCCAAGUCAAGCUCAAGUGGAAGUGGAAGAGGAGAAGGCACAAGAUCCACCUAUGCCCCCAAGGAUACACACCGCUCUUUCCAAGAAUCACCCAAUUGACCAAGUUUUGGGUGACAUUAGUAAGGGUGUCCAAACACGAUCUCAUGUUGUUUCGAUUUGUGAGCAUUACUCGUUUGUUUUUUGUUUUGAGCCAAAACAUAUAGAUGAAGCUCUUUAUGAUCCAGAUUGGAUUAAUGCUAUGCAUGAAGAGCUCAGCAACUUUGUAAGAAACAAGGUGUGGACUUUGGUUGAAAGACCUAGAGAUCACAAUGCCAUAGGGACAAAGUGGGUCUUUAGGAGCAAACAAGAUGAGAACGGGUUGGUGGUGAGAAACAAGAUAAGCUUGGUGGCACAAGGUUUCACACAAGUUGAGGCUAUUCGCAUCAUUCUUGCAUUUGCAUCAUGCUUUGAUAUAGAACUAUUUCAAAUAGAUGUGAAAAGUGCUUUUCUAAAUGGUGAAAUUGCCGAACUUGUCUUUGUUGAACAACCUCCCGGUUUUGAAGAUCCUAAAAAUCCUAACCAUGUUUAUAAACUCUCAAAAGCUCUAUAGUUUAAAACAAGCUCAUAGAGCUUGGUAUGAAAGAUUGAGAGAUUUUCUUUUGUCAAAGGAUUUCAAAACUGGAAAAGUUGACACCACACUUUUCACAAAUAUCAUUGGUGAUGACUUCUUUGUUUGUCAAAUUUAUGUUGAUGAUAUCAUAUUCGGUUCUACUAAUGAGGUAUUUUGUAAGGAAUUUGGUGGUGAUAUGAUGUCUAGGGAAUUUGAGAUGUCCAUGAUUGGAAAGUUGAGCUUCUUCCUUGAACUUCAUAUCAAGCAACUCAAGGAUGGGACGUUCAUGAGCCAAACCAAGUACAUCAAGAAUCAACUCAAGAGGUUUGGCUUGGAGGAUGCGAAGCCCAUCAAGACACCAAUGGCAACCAACGAGCAUCGCGACCUUGAUGAGGGAGGUAAACCGAUAGAUUUAAAGCUUUAUCGUUCUAUGAUUGGUAGCUUGCUUUACCUUACCGCAUCUAGGUCGGAUAUCAUGUUUAAUGUUUGCAAGUGUGCACGGUUUCAAGCCGCUCCCAAGGAGUGUCACUUAGUGGCCGUGAAAAGAAUUCUAAGAUAUUUAAAGUAUUCCUCAAUUAUUGGCUUGCGGUACCCAAAAGGUGCUAAGUUUAAGCUUGUUGGCUAUUCCAAUUCGGAUUAUGCCGGUUGUGAUGAGGACACAACUAGCUCGGAUAUAACCAUGACUACCAUAUGUAUUAAUCAACCAAAGGUGCAUAUGUUUUACAUUGGAUUUACUUGUUAUAUAUUUGAACAAACGUUGCUACACAAUGAGUUUCGUGUGUUUUUGUUUGCAGAGUUACUUGCUUGGGCGAAAGAAAAGAGACCGAGCAUAAGAAAUGCAUGGAUGAUUGAAGAAGUUGAUUGGGGACCAAACAAGGACAUUCUCUAAGUCUUCUUUCAUCUCACCACGUCACUUUUAGACCAUAGAAGAUAAGAGAUAAAGUUCCACACGUUUUGGAUUCGGUUUCGGGCCUUCUGACAGCAUCAACUUCAAACGGACCUAGCCACUGAUCUAGAAGGAAUUUAGGGGCCCAUGAGUACUUGUUGGAAAACUUAUGGAGUCUAUAUUCAGAUGGUUUUGGUCCCACGUCAAAAUUCCUACCGAGCUGCCGGAAAUCUGCAAAACAAGCCACGUAUCUCAUCCAGUCUGAAUCUGAUUUUGGUUUUGGGCCUUGUAAUUGUACCAUGGGCUUAGGCCAAGGGGGUGUGCGCCCUAGGGCAACCCUAGGACAUGCCUAAUCAUUUUUAUUCAGUAGCUGUCAUCGUUUGGAGUCGAGUUUUGCUUAGAUUAUUCUGUCAAGAACAGUUUCACUGCUAGAUUGGAUUUUGGAACCCCAAAUUCAUGUGCUUAACCAUUUAUAUGCAAUUUGGUUGCAAUCUAUCUUGUUCUUGCUUGUGUUCUUUAAUUCGCAUGCAGGGAUUAGCCUUCUCGGCAAGGUCAACCGGGUUUCGGCACGGUUAAUAACAAGAGGAGACGUGGUGCUGCGAUUACAGGGCUUAGUAGUGUAUUCGUUCAGAAGCCGGAUCGAGUUGUGUCGCAACUCCGCCCAAAUUGAUUGUUUGUCAAUACUUAUCGGAAGAUCGGGACAUAACUCCCUCAUCAAUUGGUAUCAGAGCGCGGUUGCCCGUUAGGUAAUUUAUCUUCCCAUAACCAGAAAAUUGCCACACAAAAAUAUUUACUCUUUACCAAGACAAUUUGAGCCGUUGCAUUGUUCUAUUAGAUUUUGCUUUGUUGAAUUCUAGAUUGCAUCGUCGUGUCGAGUGUUGGUUUAGUUUUUGAUUUAAUUUUUAGUUUUGAGUAUUGCAUGUGUUCAUCACUUUGGUCUAGGGUUCAUCAGUCAAGUCAGUGAUUUGUAGGUCAUAUUUAGGUCCAUUUUUUCAUCUCGCCGGUUGUUGCCGGGACUUUGAAAAUUUGAAUCGUCUCGUCGUUGGGUUUCCGUUUUUGUGGUUUGGAGGAGUUUUUUUCGAGCGGUUUUGGAGUUGUUAGAUUACUAGGGUUUCUCUGUUGCCGUCUGUUGCCGUGUUCUGUGUCGUUGAGGAGAGAAACAGAUUGACAUAUUGGUUUGUUUUCUAUAGGGGUUGUCUGAUCUGUGUCGUCAAAUGGAAGAAAAUCUCCACAUAUUUUCCAACCUUCCACGGUAGUCCGACUCCAACUCCUCCUUGUUACGGCUGAACCCCACCUCCACCUCACGGAUUUUUUCUGUGCCUCCUCCUCGGUCACCACAUUGUUAGGUAUUUUGGUGGUUGUAGAUUUGAGAUAUUUUUAUAAAAAUGAAACCUAUAUGAUGUGAGCAUUCCAUUUUUGAGGUGAUCCAAUUUUUGUUUUGCACUUUGCGUUUGAGUCCCUGUAAUAUUCAUAUUUACAUUUGAGUCCCUGUUCAAGGUCAGUGGUCAGUUCUUGUUGAAAAAAAAGUAAAAAUAAAGAAAGAAAGAAAGAAAAGGCAGAAAGGUGCAAAGAAAAAAGAAAAGAAAAAGCCGCACCUAAAAAAAAGAAAAAAAGGCAGAAAAGGUGCUUAAAAAAAGCCGCAAGAAGAAAGAAAAAAAAAUCAUUCAUUCUCUUAGUAUGUUUUGAGAGUGCAGAGUUGUGUAUUGAUUCAUAUCUAGUCCUUAGUGUUGUCGGGUGCUUGCUUGAGCUAGAGUUGAGUCUAGGCUAGGCCAGCACAUUGACUAGUACUUUGAAUUAUUAUUCAACUUUGCAUUUUCUUAUUAGCACAAUUGCGUUCCUUUGCUACUAUAUAUUGUGCCUCCCAAGCUCCACAUAUAUACUUCUGGUCAGCACCGCUUUGAUCCUUACAAUCGCCACAUCACGUCCUUCAAGGUGUCAUGAACCAGCCACCGGUUGUACCGUCCUUAACAUUGCUGGUAAGACACUUGUAAGAGCUUGGUUAAACGUUUCCAUUUGCUAGCCUCCACUACAAUCCAUGUUCUGUAGUUAAUAGGAACAAUUUUGUUCUGUUGUUCUCUUUUUUCUACUAACAAUGGCAAGUUACAUUUCUUAUGGACAUGAGAUAAAGUUGGAUGGGAGACAAACCAUAGCUGCUACAUCACCUUCCACAGAUGCAAGUGAUUAAAGUACAUUGGUGCAACAAGUGCUAAGUAUUCAAAUGGAGAAAGCGGAGCAAUGGCAGUACCACGAAUCAUUGGAACAAAGGUUUGUGGUUAAGGAUAGAGCAUGUCGUACUAUAAUCGAUAGUGAGAGUUGCAAUAACUUUGUGAGUUUAGAUUUGGUUGAGAAACUUGAGUUGCCUACACAACCGCAUCCUCAUCCAUAUUACAUCAAAUGGUUCAACUCUUGUGGUAAGUUAAUGGUAAAUAGAAUUGUGAGAAUAAACUUUUCGAUUGGAAAUUACCAUGAUACUGCCAAUUUUGAUCUUGUCCCUAUACAAGCAUGUUCUUUGUUGUUUGGUCAAUCAUGGGUAUAUGAUAAUAAUGGUUUACAUAAUUUUGUUGCUAAUACAUACACAUUUAGACAUAAUGGUCAAAAAAUGAAAUUGGAACCAAUGAUUUUUUCUAAAAUUUUCGAAGAUAAUCUGGAAAGGAUGAAGAAUGGAAUCGAAGAAAUUUUCAAAGAUAGUAUUGAAAGGACGAAGAAUAGAAUCGAUGAGAUUUCCAGAGAUACCAGAAAUAAUACUAAUAUUGUGAUGCCUUCAACUAUGUCUGAGUUAUUACAAAAUGAACGUAAUGUUGUGCCUAUUGUUUUGGAUACUAAUAUUUUGCAGGCAUGUGAGAAUAACCUAGGAAAUGAGAAAGAGAAGAAAGACGAAGAGGAAAAAGACCUAUCUAUAGCUCCAUGCAUGCUUGAAGAAUGUUCAAUUGACCAAGUGCCUAUAAUUUCUGAAGAUGAGAAAAAAAGUAAUGAUAAUGGUGCUACAGCUACUCAAGGUAUGCAUAUUUAUGAGGUGCCAACUAUGUCCACUACUUAUGCUACAUUAGAGCAACCCAUGAUGGAAACAAUUGCUGAAAUACCUUUGUCACAAAACAAUUUGUUUGAUGUUUCUUGUGAUAAAAAAGAGUUGUGCGAUGCUUCACUUAUAUCCGUGGCACAACUAGUGAAUGAACAUGAUAGUUCUAUACUAGAGCCACCAUGUGUUGAGUUUAAACAUGUUAUUCACAUUGAUAGCGAGAAUGAAGAGCUUAAAUUGCUAUCUUCUUUAAAUACUUGGGGUUAUAUUCAAUUUGAUGAUUUUUGUCCACUCAACUGUUUAGAGAAGAAAUUAUUUGCUAGAUUUGAAUUGCCAUGCCCUUCUGAUGUGAUUUUUCAUGUUAUUGGCAAUUAUGAUAGUAAAGAAGAAUAUAAUGUGCAUCGAGUAUUGUAACAUACCCGAAAUUUCAGGACUUCAAAUUUCUUGUCAAAAUAGUUAGAGGUUAACUUCUCCAAUUUUGAGAGCCAAAAAUUUCCGUUUUAAUUUAGGUGAUGACCAACUUAAACCAUUGCAUGAUUAAAAUUUGAGAACAAAAUAAAUCCUUUUCAUUCCCAACAUUAGACUAGAAUUGUCAUCAAGCAUUUGAGCAUACAUGUGCAUAAUGCAUGCCUAGACUUGAGUCCAUUGUGCAUUUAGUUUUUGGUCUCGCUUUUCAUAAUAGGUCUUAUGAGCAUAAACUAAGGGUUAAAAUUACUAAACAAAACUAUAGUUAAUCUUGGGUGAUAACAUAUGGACUUAAUAUUAAAUCCUAAUAUCAUUUUCUCAGCCCAAAAGAAGUUUAAUGUAAUCCCUAAAAUAAUAUUAGGUGCAAUUAUGAAGUAGGAACACAUAUAAAAAGAAAAGUUAUUCUAAUUCUUUAAAAAAAUAUGUGCAAAAUGAAAUCAUGGAAAAAUUUAUGUAAACUAUGUUUAGCAUAAGCAAUUCACUAUAAUAUUGGUACAAGUUAAUAACUAAGUUUAAUACCACAAAUUAAUCAGUCAAAGCAGAAAACUAAAAGAAAUCAAAUUAAAUUUUAAUCGGCUAAAGCCAUACUUCAUCCAAAAGUACAUUUAACUGCACAUAAGUGAACAUGGAAAAUAAAUUAUUCAAAUACUAGAUUAUUUAUCAUGCCUAAAUAUAAUUUUUCUAGAAUUUUCCUCCUUUGUUUAGGCUUCCUAAAAAUUCAAUCUACCUUUCUAAUAGCCCAUCUUUGUUUAAUUUCUGUGAGCAUUCUACCCAUUAUUUUUGAGUGCAACCAAAGAAAAUGGAAUCUAGGUGUAAUCAUUUACCUCCAGUAAAAUCUACACUAAUUAAUUUGGUCCACACAUUAAGUUAUGAAGCUACAAAGUUAGGGGAGAGAAAAUAAUCUAAAAAUUCGUCUAAAACCGUGUUCACCCAGAAUCUUACCCACCUCUCUCUUCCACCUAGAGCACUUCGUCCUUGGCCCACUUGGCAGCCUCUCCAGCUCGCCCUUUCUCUGUGCCUCACCAAGAACACACAGAGGGAGAGAUAGAGCGAGCCGACGCAUGGCCACAACGUGUCGACGACCUCGGGCUUUCCUUUUCUCGCUCUCUUCUCCACCAGUCUGAGUCGCCAUUCCUUACUCAUCACUCAGAGCCGAAGAAGCCGAGGGGAGCAGGUCCUCUGCCUCUCCAUCACCAGCGACCUCACCACCGGCCAUGGAGGUGACGACCAUCGCCAUCUCCGUUUGAGUCAAGGUCACCUCUGUCUCUUUCACGUUCCCAUCUCUCCACACAAUGCCGAACCACUUCUCUGUUGACCACCUCCCGUUUUGUGCAUCACAGCCACCGGAACGUGACCACGCCAACGACGUCCCGGAGCACGCACCGGAGCGCCGCCGCUUCAAUCAUCGUCGUUGUCCAACCACCUUCGUCCACCUCGGAGCAAGCCGCUGCGCCAUCGUCAUCGCCUCAACAUGCUUUUCAAGACGCCUCAAGAACCCCAGCCGGAGAUAUCAAGAACACAGAGAGCGCACUCUUUCUUCCUCCCCGUCGCCAUCGCCAUUGUCAAUUCCUUCCUCUCCGGUGAGCUAUAGUCCGAUUCUUCGUGCACACACCAUCCUUGAGACCUCACGAACCUCUUGGACACGCAUGCAUGGCAGGACCUUGAGUUAUUCGAGCCGUCGCCGUUCACUCGAGGAGGAGCACCGUCGCCGAGCCGUUCCGCAAGCCGCCGCUGCCGUCAAGACCUUGACAACCCUAGCUUGACCCACAGUGAGCAUCCUGAAGGCUAGAAGACCACAUGCAUGCAUCCUUUUCGUUCGGAAUCGACUUCCAUGCACACAUGCACUUUCACCCCGAGAACCACCGCCGCUCACACCACUGUCACGAUUGUUUCCGACCACCUCUGACCUUGAGAUAACUAUGGGUAGAUGCGCAAGGAGCUUAGGAAUGUUUUCUCUUUUCGUCGCCCCGCGAGAACGGCCGCCGUUCAUCGUCAGUGCCGGCGAGCAGCUCGCCAAGUCGCCGCUAUUCUGCUGCUGCCCUUGCCCUCUUGCUGAGACACUGACCAGCGGAGCCCACAUCAUUAGGCGCUGAGGACUCUUCUUAGAGAGAGUUUAAAACUUGCAAGGUCUAAAUUAAUUGUAAAAUAUGUUAGAAUGACAUGUGGAACCAAGGACUAAUUAGUAAUGAAUUAAAAGAAUCUGAGGACUCUUAAUGAAUUUGGUUCAUCACAUACUUUGGACUGCGAGUUGAUUCCUAAAAACCUCAAGGACCUUUUUGCAUAUUGGUCCCUCACUGACACGUGGACCCCAUACUUUAAAAUCUUGAGAAUAAUUAAGAAAAUGCCCAAACAAAUAUAUGUUUAGCAGAAAAAUGCACAAAGUUGUAAAAUCCAUAUAAAAUCAAAUAUAGCUCAUUUUGAAGUGAUUCCAGUUUCUGUAGAUUCAAGAAGUUAUGAACUUUAUUCCAGGAAUAUAAAACUUGACACCCACUGUACAAACUUUGCCUCUAAAAUUUAUCUAAGAUAAGUCAUACAUAAAGCAUGUACAAACUUAUAAAAUACAAAGAAAAUUCAUUUCAACUCAUUUUGAAACAAAAUCAAAUUCUACAGAUUCAUCAUCAUGCACUCUGAUUAAGUGAAAUAAAAGUAAUUACUUACUUUCCAUCAAAUGCCUCUAAAACUAUUAUCUCUAGAAUGAUUAGUUUAGAUAAGCUAAACUUUAGAAAUUCAUGUAGAACCCAAUUUAGCUUCAAUUUGAGUAAACUUUAGUUCUGUAGGAUCAUCAAAACAUGUAUUUCCAUGUUAUGAAAUAAGAUUAUAUAUUUACUGUGUAGUUAAAGUCUCUAAAUAUUCAUAUAAGGAUUUACUAACAUAGAGUAGUCUUUAAUUUGUAAAACUUGUAGAAAAUUCAUUUUUUUAGUCCAAAUGAAAUGAACAAAGUUUCUAUAGAACCUGCAAAUAGUUAGCUUCAACAUAGUAAAAUAAAAUUUGGCACAUUUUGUAGAGAACAUAGAUCAAAACCUUAACUUAGUGAAAUAAGAAUUUAAACACAUAGUGUUGUUUAAGUAAUACAUAAACAUGUAUAAGUAUAUAUACACUUUAGGUCUAAUUAAACCUAAAUAAAAACUUGAUUGACCAGUGAAGCCAUAGUUCCAUCCUCAUCCACUAAAACUUAGAAGAACUUAGCUCAUAUAACAAUUUCUAGGUUAAUAUAAUAUAUUGCUAGUUUAGAUUAGAGCAUCUCGUUUAUAAAAUAUGAACCAUAGUAGUAAAGACCAUAAACAUGUGAACUAAAAAUGUUCAUUUUUAGUUAACCAAAUUAUUCCUUUUAUCUGUAGCAUAUUCUGAAUCUACAACUUGAGAGUCAUGCACAUAUAAAACACUAUAUGCCUAGAAUACGUUGUAACUUGUAAAAUCUAUAAGAAAAUCAUUAUAACUCCAAAAAUUGUGAAACCAAAUGUGUUAGUCUUAGAAAACACAUCUCCACAGCCCUGUGAAGUCUAAUCUAAUAAAAAUCACUUUACAAAAGUAUUUUAUAACACUACCUAAGACUAUAUGACUAUAAACCUAUAAAACUUCUAAAAUUCAUAACUCCCUAAUGGAAUAAGAUAAAAUAAAAAUUAUUUCACCUAAAUUUAUUUUAGACCAGUACCUAAUCACUGUGCAUAAAUCAUGCAUUUUAGAGCAUUUUGGAUUUUCAGCUCUUUCGGUGUUUAAUUGCACGUGUCAUUUAUCUAGAUAAUUGCAUAACCGGUGAAGGAGUGGAUUAGGUGCUAACAUUUCUCUGAUCAAGGCAAGUUUUCUCCUCCCAUCCUUUGAACACAUUGAAUCCCAUGAUUUGAGGAAUGAAAAUAUUUGUUCGCAAAGUUGCAUGUCAACUUAGAUUAUAUCGGUAUUUAAAAUUGGGUUAAGGUAGUUAUGACCUAUUUGUUGCAUACCCCACCUUGAAUAAUUGAUCCUCAUGUUGUUUGAACCCCUAGAAAUGGUUAGAGUAUACUCUUUGUGCUCAAAUGGAUUUUGAUACAUGAACCUUUGCUGGAAUAAAAUGAAUAUGAUGGGUAUUUGCGAACUAAAAUGUGUAAAAUGUGAUUUUAUACUUGGGCGGCAAGUGGUGUGCAUAUGGUGUUAGUUGCAUACCGAUAGGGGGAGUGUUUGCCCAAGUACAUAAGGACCGAACUUGUGUCACCCAUUUAAAGUUAUUCGUACAUCCACAUGUGCUAGUAUGGGAUAGCCUAAGCUGAGUAAUCUGUUUAGGACUAGCCUUGCAUUCUGGUAGGCCGGUGUGUAUGAGUUCGUAUAAUUCAGAGGAGCUUUCUAAUUACCCCGACGUGGUGCUUUAGGUGACUAAGCGUGUACAAUACAACAGUAUUGUGCCACGUGGUGGGUUCCCGUCGUGUCUGCCACCACGGCGUUAAGUUUAAGGCGUGGGCCCGCCACUUAACGGUUCUAGGUAUAUUCCAAGUAUGCCUAGGAUUGAGGAACACGUAUCGUGCUGGUGCAAGGCUAGGCUCUAAGUAGUGUAAAGGCUUCGUUAUGACCUCUAGAUCACAUUCAAUAUGAAGAGUGUGGUGGAGUCUUGCAAACUCAAAACAAACUAGAGAGUUCUAUCAUGUGGGUAAAGCUGUACAAACUCUGCAGAGUUCUUUAAACUAAUCGAUUAGCCGUGCUCACGGUCAUGAGUGCUUUGGUGAUGUGUCAUGAGUAUAGAUUUUAUGUUUUAAAAUGUGAUCAUGUGACAUUGAUUUGAAAUUGAUAAAUGUGUUGAGUUGUGUGUGUGAGGUGAUAUAUUAUGACUUGUUGUCAAAGGAUGACAACAAGAGAUUGAUUAUGAUGGAAUUAUGAUGAACUUAAUAUUGAAACUUAAAAUUUGUUUUGUUAAUUGAAGCAUCAACUCCUUUACAAAAGAAUUGCGAAACAACACUUGCUUUAUGCUGAAAAUUGAACUACAUAUUGCCUUCCUUUGAAUAUAUGCCUUACAUCUAGUAUGGUAGGAGUGACUUAUGCUUGCCAGUACAUUAACUUGUUUAAUGUACUUACUCUCUUGCUGUUGAUAUAACCUUUUGUUUGCAGGUUUAGUCUUAAUCUUUGAGUGAUGCGGGUUCCGAUUGUUUCUUCUAGGAUGAGAACUUAAAUGGGGUAAACCCCUAGUCGGUGUGCUUGUGAUUGGGUAGUCAAGCUUCCGCUGUUCUCUAAUAAGUCUAUUUGGUCGGUCGGCCUAUGUAAUUAUUAAGUUGUUGUAAGUCUUAAGUUUCUUUCAUCUUAGUUGUGUUCGCUAUGUAUAAAUAUGCUUAAGAUGAAAGUGUGGAUCUAGUGCACAUCCUGGGAACUAGAUUCAAAUGAGUAUGAGUUAGGAACAUUUGAGAGGUUGUAGAUCUUUAGCCAUUUUUGUCAAGUCUCCUGAAUGUGUAACACAUCUGGUCGCCGCCUUCGAGUGGUUUGACGGGCACAUCUCAGGCUGAAGUUGACUAGCAGGCUAAGGGCCCAGCAAUGGCUUCAAUAUUCCUCUCUCGAGGCGUCGGAUGUUUUAUUAUGCUUGUUUGAUGACUUGAAUUAUUCACUUCAUCUCUCAAGUAUAAUGGAAGGUCAGGAGAGCCUACCACAAGUAUAUAUUUGUUCAAAUAUGACUAUGCAUCAUUUUCAUGAUGAAAUGUAUUGUCUAGAGGACCUCAUGUGUAUAUGUAAUUCUCUAUCAAGUUUCUCUAGUCGUUUAAAUGAGUUACAGGUUAGUUUGCAAGAAGGGGAGUGUUAUAGAUUUUCGACUAAAGAGAUUUCAGGAUCCAACCAUAUGGCUAUCAAGAAAUAUUCCUUACCGGAUGUUGUGAUAGAAAAAGAUAAGUUCAAAAUGCUCCAUAACAAGGUGAAACCGAGGACGGUUUCCAAUCAAGAAGGGGAGGAUGAUGAGGACACAACUAUCUCGGGUAUAACCAUGACUACCUUAUGUAUUAAUCAACCAAAGGUGCAUAUAUUCUACAUUGGAUUUACUUGCUAUAUAUUGAACAAACGUUGCUACACAAUGAGUUUCGUGUGUUUUUGUUUACAGAGUUAAUUGCUUGGACAAAAGAAAAGAGACCGAGCGUAAGGAAUACAUGGAUGAUUGAAGAAGUUGAUUGGGGACCAAACUAAGACCUUCUCUAAGUCUUCUUUCAUCUCACCACGUCACUUUUUGACCAUAGAAGAUAAGAGAUAAAAUUCUAUACGUUUUGGAUUCGGUUUCGGGCCUUCUGAUAGCAUCAACUUCAAACGGACCUAGCCGCUGAUCUAGAAGGAAUUUAGGGGCCCAAUAGUACUUGUUGGAAAGCUUAUGGAGUCUACUUUCAGAUGGUUUUGGUUCCACGUCAAAAUUCCUACCGAGCUUCCGGGAAUCUGCAAAACAAGCCACAUAUGUCAUCCAGUCCGAACUGAUUUUGGUUUUGGGCCUUGUAAUUGUGUCGUGAGCUUAGCCCAAGGGGGUGUGCGCCCUAGGGCAACCCUAGGACGUGCCUAAUCAUUUUUAUUCAAUAGCCGUCAUCGUUUAGAGUCGGGUUUUGCUUAGAUUAUUCUGUCAAGAAUAAUUUCGCCGCUAGAUCGGAUUGUGAAACACCAAAUUCAAGUGAUUAUUUAUUCAUAUGCAAUUUGAUUGCAAUCUAUCUUGUUCUUACUUGUGUUCUUUGAUUCGCAUGCAGGGAUUAGCCUUCUCGGUGAGGUCAACCGGGUUUCGGCAUGGUUGAUAACCAGAGGAGACAUGUUUGGUGCUGCGUUGCGGGGCUCAGUAGCGUGUUCGUUGUUUGGAGAGAAAAAUUAACUUUAAUCUCCCCGCCCAGGGAAGUAAAAUAAAAUAAGAUGUGCGGGCGUGCCAGUGUACUAAGUACACAAAAUCAAAUAGACGAAGGAAAAUAUAUUUUAUUAUAAUUCUCAAGGAAUUACAAAAAUACAAAAUCCUUAGUCAAAUGCGCUCCACAGCUCGUCGCCGAGGUGUAUCUGACUUGACGAUUGUGUUCUCCUGGUUCCCGGGGUCUCGGAAAACACCCGGUUAAUUACUCUCGCGGGUUAGACCGCAAGACACCUCCGAUUAAGCUGCGUUGGUCGUUGUCAUCGGUCUUCCCUUUACGUUCACCCAUGCGUGUUGUGAUGGUGGUGAUGGUGUAGAUGUGUGUGGGCGCCGACAGCGGUCCACGGCCGCGUCGCCGUGUUGUGCAUGCAUGACGAUCUGAACAGAAAGAGCAGGAAAACAAAAGAAAACUAAUAAGCUGUACCCAUGGCAAUGGCUGGGUACGUGCUCCAGCGACCGUCUUCUCCUCCGCGCGCCUCCUCGCCGGACGCCGAGGCACUGCGGCCAACGUCACCGACCGCCGAGCGCCCGUGUUGUCGCUGGACGCCGAGAUUCUCCGGCCAAAAUGGUGUGUGUGUCUCUCUCUGUCACUUUCGUAUGCGUGUGUGUUCUGUCUGUGUGUGUUCCUCCGUCUCUGUGUGUUCCUCCGUGUGUGAAAUGGCAUGGCCUUUUAUAGUGAAGAAAGGCAGUUCCAGCCAGUACGUGCAUGGCUCGAUCAGUGCAUGCGUGAUCAGCCAAUUGCCUAAUUUAGCGAUUAGCAUUUCUUUCCAUAUGUUGUGUGAUUCUUCCAAUUAACAGGCAUCCUUAUUCAGCAUGAUUCCAUCCGUGUUACGCCGACCGAUCUCCUUUCCAAGUUGGAAUGAUACAUAGGGAUCAUUUUCCUCGUAUUCUCGUAUAUACGCGCAAUCUGUACAUGGUGAGGCAUCGAUAAGAAAUCAACUGCCGGCAAAUGAUUUGAUUAUUGCCCUCUAAUGAUAUGCUACAGUGGCAUGCUUCCAAAAUAAAUCCACCGUCGUUUCUUCUUUCCAUCAGUGAUAUCGCUUAGCCGUGCUGCCACUUAUUCAACCAACCAUCUAUUCCAGGCAUAUAUAUAUUUAUAUAUUCUAUCCCGGCUGGAAUACAUAAUAUAUAUAUAUAUAUAUAUAUAUAUAUAUAUAGACACACACGUGAGUAUAUUCGCGCCCGUACAUUAAUUGGGCAGCACUGCACGUGUCAUAUAAUAUUCUCAUGUACACCAGAUUGUAUCAUUAAUGAUAAUUAAUUAAUCACUUAUUUUUACUAUUGUACUGUUAUUCCCGGAAUUAAUAUUUUAACGCACCCCAUUUCUUAUAAAAUAAAAAAAAGGUGUACAAAAUAUCAUCGAACAAAAUGCCCCCUCACCAAGUUAAAUUCGAGCGUGGAGCGACUCGGAAUUAACUUGGUGACUGAUGAACCUUUCUAUUUCCCCUAUCGAUUCUAGCAUGAUCCUUUCCCUCGUACAGAUGUUUUCCAUGUAUGUUUUAAUCUGAAAACAACGAUCUGGCUGUGGAAGUAUGAAUGAUGUUGCCAAAUUAACUCACGUCACUUUCCUUUAGCCAAAUACUCCCAAAUAUAAGCUUCGGUUAAGCACCCUAUAAAUACCACGUACCAUCAGCGACCUGAUCAAGCAAUAUUGUUCAAUCUCGGUAGGGAAGCCACAAGUUUGUACUUCAUCUUCGUGUACCUCUUUUAAUUCUCACUGACCUUUCUGUUCGCGUGAUUUUUUUUACUCUUUGCUUCUCAUCAUAUAUAUAUUUGCUUUAGCAGCUCCAUUCAUGGCUCGUGAUGCUGGCAAGCAUGCUUCUGGUGGCGUUGAGAAGGAACGGACGCCAGCAGCCGGCUCGUCUCGAGGCCCUCGAUCAGCCGAGGCCACUAUCGGUUGGAAUUCAUGACGCGGGAAUUCCUCGCCGUCCAAGGUCUGCGCCUGAUGGUGGUGACUUCGGCGCUCGGCCACAACAUCACUGUUUGCGGAUGGCAUGAGGCACUUUGACCAAAUCUGCUGAAACCUGUGACGAAGACUAUGGAGCAAGAACGGCGCGAGGCGAGGGGUCGUGCGAGUACCUUGUCAAGCCAGAGGCGUCCCAGGCGAAGGGUGCAAGGCGAAGAGUAUCUGCUGAAGGAAGACGACUUCGCCAUGGCAAGUUCGCCCCCGCGAGGGCCGAAGAAGCCUUUCCGGCCCAUCAAGCCUAGGGGCUAUAGGGCCGGCGGUCGCCCGACGGCCCAUCAGGGGCCUAUGAACCUCCAUAACAUUAUGUACCCCUGUAAAUGUCCCUUUCCUAAGGGUAACCAUGUAAAUUCCCCUGUAUAACCUAACCUAGUAGUAAGAACCUAUAAUGGGGGUAUAAAUAGUCCCCUAGGGCAAUGUAAUAAGGGGAUCCCGAAGUAAAAAAUUCUAAAAUUAAUACACUUCGUUUCUUUCCAACCACUGUUGAGUAACCACGUCUUUCAACGUAUGCGGUUGUCGUUUCGACAACAAUCACCUUGCCGGUGGGUCGCAAUCUACGCAACCCGCCUUUCGAGCUCAUGAGCGCGCGGAUAAAUGAGCCACUGCACGACCCUCCUCGUCUCGCCCUCGGAGGUCAGCACAAGACUCGCCAUCUCCAGUGCGUCGUCGGGACAUGAAGAGAGAUCGCUCUCCAACACUUGCCAAGGUCAGCUCUUCCAAGAAACCUCCUGUUACCCCGGCGAGCAGCAGCAGUGAGUCUCCCCCUAUCGUAUCGAGCGAUUCCUCAUAUGAUACUUUGUCGGAUGAUGCAGUCAAGAUACUUGGCAACACUCCUUCUGCGGAGCAUGUGAGCCCCUUUAUUACACUCUUUGUAAAUACAUUUAUAUAUUUUGUCCCAUCUCUUUCCGCUUGUUUAACAUACCCUCCUGAUUGUAGACGUCUUAAAUAUCCCCUCUUUUUUAUUUACUGAUGAGAUGUUACUUUAAGGUUCCCACCAUACCGGACAAUAACGUUGUCUCGUCAAACCGCAAUACACCCAUCCCCCGGGUUUCAAAGGAGUCGCACAAAAAAGCUGGCGUUGCUAGGAGUGCGCAGCCUAAGACGGUCCAAGCUCAACCCCUACGUGUGGACGCAGGGAAGGCAAGAAAAGAAGAGAAACGUCCAGUGGUGUACACACUUGAGGAGCCAGAGAAGGAUGAAAAUAACAACUCAUCGUGGUACAGCAUUUUCUUUUUACUAUGGUUUGCCCCGUACUUCAGGUAACCUUGCUGGUGAUAAGGCCCAGGUUGACCUGAUGCAAGACCAUGGCAAGAGACUUGAGGCGGCAUUGACCAAGCAGAUUGCUGAGCUUCACUCUGCGGAACCAAGGCUUCUCCUAAUGUCAGUUCGGUCCAUUGAUGACGAGCCCCCAAGACUGAAUCUGCCAUCUGAUGGUUUCAUUAUGGUCCGGCAUGCAGCGGCAGUGCAUCGUGAUGUGUAUGAUUUGCAGAAGCUCUUGAAACAGGAACCCCUCGACAAUCGUAUGAUUGUUGAUGCCAUAGGGGUGAUUACUUUGUCGUGGAAGGAGCACUAUGUGGAGCCGCGCCCCGAAGAUUUGGUGAAGCUAAUGUCUGACCUAGAGGAUUUGGUGGGAUUUUUGAGUGGCAACUCAGGUCCACCUUCUUUUGAAGAAUUGAUGGUCACUUCAAAUGACAGUGAAGCCACCUCUUUGUUAUAGAGGUAUGAGAGCAUGUGCAUUGACGCUUCCCGCGACUUGAAGAUAUUUGCCGAGGACAAGGUUAAGAUGCUGACCUUCGGAAAACAUCUUGAUGCCUGUCAUGCUGACUGGCAAACCAAGGCAGAAUACUAUGAGAAUAAGGCCAAAGAAGCGAGAGCUGCCUCUGCAGAAUAUCAUCAGUUAAUGAAGUGUAACGAGGAGAUGAUUAUCAAUCACCCUGCCGCCGUGGACUCUUAGUCCUAAAGGUGGCCGAACUGAAAAACAAGUGUGCCAAUGCAAAGACCAAUGUUGAAGCCGCAAAAAAGCAGAAGGAGGCUGGAGCGUCUGCCCCACCGACCAUCCUUCGCAUCUUGUCCUAUCCGUGCAACCCAUAUUUUGGUCUUCCAGCACCUCCCCAGUAAUAGUUCAAUUGAGUCGUCUUACAGUUAUCCGAGUUAUUCCCUAAGAGUCAUAUCAAUAUCAGUUAGUCUUUACUCUUUAUAUAUAUUUAUAGAAUGGAAGUUGUGUCCUUAGCUGUGGUUCCAUGUCUUUGUCAUCUUAUUGUAAUAGUCUGGGUAUCCUUAGAUGCGCCCAAA
RNAcentral lists this long non-coding RNA (74478 nucleotides) under Oryza sativa (Asian cultivated rice). Its description in RNAcentral is "long non-coding RNA (OSAT_LNC000580)". The stretch from base 9836 to 10043 matches the Rfam family "MIR812 microRNA precursor family". Lineage: Eukaryota; Viridiplantae; Streptophyta; Magnoliopsida; Poales; Poaceae. The record is from RNAcentral.